RNAcentral lists this long non-coding RNA (76412 nucleotides) under Capsicum annuum. RNAcentral describes it as "long non-coding RNA (CANN_LNC012251)". The record is from RNAcentral. Lineage: Eukaryota; Viridiplantae; Streptophyta; Magnoliopsida; Solanales; Solanaceae.
UUUACAUUACUUUUUUUCUCAUUCUUCAUCAGUUAUACGAGUUUUCAUUGAUCAUAUUAUCUGUCUUUGAAUUCAUAUUGCUUAGUUAUACGAGUUCUAAACUGAUCAUAUUAUCUUUUUUCUCGUCCUUCAUCAGUUAUAUGAGUUUUCAUUAAUCAUACUAGUUGUCUUCAUAUUGCUUGGUUAUACGAGUUCUAAACUAAUCAUAUUAUCUAUCAAUCUCCAUAUUGCUCGGUUACGAGUUCUCAACUGAUCAUAUUAUCUAUCUCUAUAUUGCUUUCUUCCUCGUCCUUCAUCGACUAUAUAUACGAAUUUUCACUAAUCAUAUUAUUUAUCUCCAUAUUGCUUUCUUUCUUGUCCUUCGUCGAUUAUACGAGUUUUCACUGAUCAUAUUAUUUAUCUCCAUAUUGCUUCCUUCCUAUCUCGUCCUUCAUCGGUUAUAAGAGUUCUCACUGAUCAUAUUAUCGAUCUAUAUCUAUAUUACUUUUUGCCUCGUCUUUCAUCAACUAUACGAGUUCUCACUAAUCAUAUUAUCUAUCUCCAUAUUUCUUUCUUCCUCGUCCUUCAUCGACUAUAUAAAUUCUCACUGCUCAUAUUAUCUAUCUACUUUAUUUGAGCUUAUUUCAAACUGUAUGCCGAUAUAACAUGUUCAAAAAAUUUCUUUAAUAUAUAGUUCGAGUCGAAAGCAAUAAGUAUGGUCACAUCUACUGUUGAAAAGUUGUACUUGUCUAUGUGAAUGCCAGUGUAAUCAAAAUUAUCAACUGUAACGCACAAUAUCGAAAAAGGUUAUAUUGUAAAUUAAAAAAACUCCUACAUACAUACAUACAUACAUACAUACAUAUAUAUAUAUAUGUGUAUAUAUAUAUAUAUAUAUAUAUANNNNNNNNNNNNNNNNNNNNNNNNNNNNNNNNNNNNNNNNNNNNNNNNNNNNNNNNNNNNNNNNNNNNNNNNNNNNNNNNNNNNNNNNNNNNNNNNNNNNNNNNNNNNNNNNNNNNNNNNNNNNNNNNNNNNNNNNNNNNNNNNNNNNNNNNNNNNNNNNNNNNNNNNNNNNNNNNNNNNNNNNNNNNNNNNNNNNNNNNNNNNNNNNNNNNNNNNNNNNNNNNNNNNNNNNNNNNNNNNNNNNNNNNNNNNNNNNNNNNNNNNNNNNNNNNNNNNNNNNNNNNNNNNNNNNNNNNNNNNNNNNNNNNNNNNNNNNNNNNNNNNNNNNNNNNNNNNNNNNNNNNNNNNNNNNNNNNNNNNNNNNNNNNNNNNNNNNNNNNNNNNNNNNNNNNNNNNNNNNNNNNNNNNNNNNNNNNNNNNNNNNNNNNNNNNNNNNNNNNNNNNNNNNNNNNNNNNNNNNNNNNNNNNNNNNNNNNNNNNNNNNNNNNNNNNNNNNNNNNNNNNNNNNNNNNNNNNNNNNNNNNNNNNNNNNNNNNNNNNNNNNNNNNNNNNNNNNNNNNNNNNNNNNNNNNNNNNNNNNNNNNNNNNNNNNNNNNNNNNNNNNNNNNNNNNNNNNNNNNNNNNNNNNNNNNNNNNNNNNNNNNNNNNNNNNNNNNNNNNNNNNNNNNNNNNNNNNNNNNNNNNNNNNNNNNNNNNNNNNNNNNNNNNNNNNNNNNNNNNNNNNNNNNNNNNNNNNNNNNNNNNNNNNNNNNNNNNNNNNNNNNNNNNNNNNNNNNNNNNNNNNNNNNNNNNNNNNNNNNNNNNNNNNNNNNNNNNNNNNNNNNNNNNNNNNNNNNNNNNNNNNNNNNNNNNNNNNNNNNNNNNNNNNNNNNNNNNNNNNNNNNNNNNNNNNNNNNNNNNNNNNNNNNNNNNNNNNNNNNNNNNNNNNNNNNNNNNNNNNNNNNNNNNNNNNNNNNNNNNNNNNNNNNNNNNNNNNNNNNNNNNNNNNNNNNNNNNNNNNAUAGGGUAUCCAAAUGAUUGGAAGAAUAAGAAGAAACAGAUGAAACAGAUAAGUACAGGAAUAAAUACAAAAUAGAGUUCUACUAAAACGGCCAGAAGGCAAAACUUUGGUGAACGAAUCUGCAAGUUGUUCAGAGCUAUGAACAUGAGAUACCACCAAGUCACCAUGACUGAUCUUUUCACGAACAAAAUGAUAGUCCAAAGCAAUGUGUUUUGUACGAGAGUGAAAAACUGGAUUAUGCGCUAGGUGAAUGGCUCCAAUGUUGUCACAUUUUGUGGAGACGGGAGAAGUAAGAAAAAGACCAAGAUCACGAAGAAUGUAUUGGACCCAUGUAGCCUCAGCAGUAGCAACAGCAAGAGCCUUAUACUCAGGACUGUAGGUUGUUUCUUAGCGGACCAAGAGAUGAGAUUGGAGCCAAGAAAAAUACAGAAACCAGUUGUUGAUCGUCUUGUAGCAGAGCAACCAGCCCAAUCGAAGUCGCAAUAAAUAGUAAGUGCAAGGGAAGAAUUUUUUGUAUAAAUACAAGCCCCAAUCAGUUGUGCCACUUAGGUACCUGAAAAUGCGUUUUACUGCCUGAAGAUGUAAUUUGUCUCGGCUGGUGAAGAAAUUGAGAAGCAAGGUUUACAGCAAAUUGAAUGUUUGGCCGAGUGAAAGACAAGUAUUAUAGACUCCCAACCAUUUGACGAUAGGUAGAAGGAUCUUCAAACAAAGGAGAAAAAGUUGAAUUCCAGUCAAGCUUACUGUGAAGUGGAGUAAGUCCAGAUUUACACUUCUCAAGUUUAAACCGAUGAAGUAUAGAAGUAAUAUAACGAUGUUGCACCAAUAGCAGCCCUAAGGAAUUAUGCUUCAAUUCAACGCCAAGAAAGUAAGUAAGAGGGCCUAAGUCCUUCAUUGAGAGUUUCGUACUCAUAGAAGUGAUGAACUGAGAUACCAAUGACUUCGAAGAGCCAAAAACAGCUAUAUCGUCCACAUAGAUCAAAAGAAUUAUGCAAUCACUCCCCGAGUAAAAAAUGAACAUACUAUGGUCUGAGAUACAUUGUGUAAAACCAAGAUCAAGAAUAAAACGAGCAAGACGAUAGAACCAAGUACGCAGUGAUUGUUUAAGACCAUAUAGAGCACGCUGUAACUUGCAAACAUAAUGAGGAUAAUCUGGAUGGACAAAACCUUUUGGUUGACGCAUAUAAACUGUCUCAGAUAACUCACCAUGUAAGAAUGCAUUGGACACAUCAAGUUGAUGAAUGAACCAGUUUCGUUAAAGGGUCAAAGAUAGGACUAGACGAAUUGUGCUAGGCUUGAUAAUAGGAGAAAAUGUCUCAAAAUAAUCCACUCCAGGCUGCAGCGAAAAACCUUGAGCCACUAACCGAGCUUUAUAUCUUUCAACAAAGCCAUUGGCACAAAACUUAGUUCGAAACACCCAUUUAUUACCAACAAUAUUUACAUUUGCAGGAGGAGGAACCAAAGACCAAGUUUUAUUUUGAACUAGAGCAUCAAAUUCGACACUCAUGGCAUGCUUCCAAUGGGGAUCUUUAGAAGCUUGAGAAAAGGAGGUAGGUUNNNNNNNNNNNNNNNNNNNNNNNNNNNNNNNNNNNNNNNNNNNNNNNNNNNNNNNNNNNNNNNNNNNNNNNNNNNNNNNNNNNNNNNNNNNNNNNNNNNNNNNNNNNNNNNNNNNNNNNNNNNNNNNNNNNNNNNNNNNNNNNNNNNNNNNNNNNNNNNNNNNNNNNNNNNNNNNNNNNNNNNNNNNNNNNNNNNNNNNNNNNNNNNNNNNNNNNNNNNNNNNNNNNNNNNNNNNNNNNNNNNNNNNNNNNNNNNNNNNNNNNNNNNNNNNNNNNNNNNNNNNNNNNNNNNNNNNNNNNNNNNNNNNNNNNNNNNNNNNNNNNNNNNNNNNNNNNNNNNNNNNNNNNNNNNNNNNNNNNNNNNNNNNNNNNNNNNNNNNNNNNNNNNNNNNNNNNNNNNNNNNNNNNNNNNNNNNNNNNNNNNNNNNNNNNNNNNNGUCUCAGAUAACUCACCAUGUAAGAAUGCAUUGGACACAUCAAGUUGAUGCAUGAACCAGUUUCGUUGAAGGGCCAAAGAUAGGACUAAACGAAUUGUGCUAGGCUUGACAACAGGAGAAAAUGUCUCAAAAUAAGCCACUCCAGGCUGCUGCAAAAAACCUUGAGCCAAUAACCGAUCCUUAUAUCUUUCAACAGAGCUAUUGGAGCAAAACUUAGUUUGAAACACCCAUUUAUUGCCAACAAUGUUUACAUUUGCAGGAGGAGGAACCAAAGACCAAGUUUUAUUUUGAACUAGAGCAUCAAAUUCGACACUCAUGGCAUGCUUCCAAUGGGGAUCUUUAGAAGCUUGAGAAAAGGAGGUAGGUUCAGAUAAAAUAGAAGUAGCUAAAGUUGUUAACGAAGGAAAAAUACGUGGUUUGAGUGAACCAGUUUGAGAACGAGUAAUCAUGGGAUGAGAUUUUAGUUUGAUGGCGAAUGGAGUAGAAUUAGGCAUACUAAUAUUGUCAGAUGAAGGUUGAAUUGGUGUUGGUUAUGCCUAGGAUAAAUCAAUACGACCUUCAGAAGAAAGAUUUAAACUAUUUGCAGGACAUUGAUUCAAAGGAGAGUGCAUAAGGUGUGAGGGAGAAGCUGGAGAAAAUUGAUUAGAAUCUUUAAGGCUAGAAUCUUGAGAAUUAGGUGACAUUAAUAUAGAACUCUGAAGACUGCUGCUAGGUGCGAGUUGCUGCUUAUUUUCGGCGAUGGGAGUUUCUAAAUUAAAAGAUUUAGUAUUAUGUGCAUUGGGAAAACAUGAAGAAGGUUGAGCAGGAAGAAGUCCCAUUUGGAAAAAAUUAGGAGAAGGUUCUCCAGAACGUGCGAUGAGAUAGAAUUAGGUGCGGUUGUUGGCUAAGUAGGAAAGAAGGUCAAACGGAAAAGAGUCUUCAACAAAAUGAACAUGCCGAGAGAUGAUAACUCUAUUUGAAUUAGGAUCCCAACACUUAAAACCUUUGUGUUUACCAGAUGAACCGAGGAAUAAAAAAGCUUGGAACGAGGUUGGAACUUAGAGCAAAGACCAACUGCUACAAAGGGAUAACAGAGGCAUCCAAAUACACAAAUAAGAUUAUAAUCUGGCGCACGACCAUAAAGCUAUUCAAACAGAGAUAGGAAAUGCAGCACCGGAAGAGGAGUAACAUUAAUCAGGGAGACGGCAUACAGACAAGCAUCAGCCCAAAAUUUGAAAGACAUAGAUGCUUGAAAUAUAAGACAGCGUAGGACAUUUGCAAUUUGUCUAUGUUUGCGCUCGGCCCUACCAUUUUGAGCAGACGUGUAAGGACAAGAAAAACAAUGGACUAUGCCAUUUUGCUUGAAGAAUGAACUAAAUUUUUUGUUAACAUAUUCACCACCUCCAUCAGACUGGAAAUAAGAAAUGGAGGUGUGAAAAACAUUUUUAACCAUGGUAUAAAAUUCUUUGAAUUUGUCAAAAGUUUCAGAUUUUUCAUACAUCAAGUAAACCCAAGAGAAUUUGGUGUAAUCAUCAAGGAAUAAAAUAUAAUAACGAUAUCCAGAAUUUUAGACAAUAGGAGCAUGCCAUACAUCUGAAUGAAUUAAAACGAAUGGAGAANNNNNNNNNNNNNNNNNNNNNNNNNNNNNNNNNNNNNNNNNNNNNNNNNNNNNNNNNNNNNNNNNNNNNNNNNNNNNNNNNNNNNNNNNNNNNNNNNNNNNNNNNNNNNNNNNNNNNNNNNNNNNNNNNNNNNNNNNNNNNNNNNNNNNNNNNNNNNNNNNNNNNNNNNNNNNNNNNNNNNNNNNNNNNNNNNNNNNNNNNNNNNNNNNNNNNNNNNNNNNNNNNNNNNNNNNNNNNNNNNNNNNNNNNNNNNNNNNNNNNNNNNNNNNNNNNNNNNNNNNNNNNNNNNNNNNNNNNNNNNNNNNNNNNNNNNNNNNNNNNNNNNNNNNNNNNNNNNNNNNNNNNNNNNNNNNNNNNNNNNNNNNNNNNNNNNNNNNNNNNNNNNNNNNNNNNNNNNNNNNNNNNNNNNNNNNNNNNNNNNNNNNNNNNNNNNNNNNNNNNNNNNNNNNNNNNNNNNNNNNNNNNNNNNNNACCAUCUCCAACCAUAACUUGAGAAGAACCAGAAUAAGGAGUGUGAGAAGUAAGAGUAGAAGGAUUAGGAGUCAUGUGUGCAGAUGCCCCAGAGAGUCUGGAUACCAAACUAUUGGUUGAACCUCCUCCAAAUUCAUGGAAGCAAAUGAUUGAGGAAUAUUGUUAGCCACAAAGGAAUGAUUGAACCUAUUUCUACAAUCCAACGCAGUGUGAUUAUAGUGAAAACAAAUUUGACAUUGCUUAACGGGAGAGAAAGGGGAUUUCCCAAAAUAUCAGUAGCAGGGGAAGGAGGCCGAGAUUGUUGUUGGAAACCAUACCAUGAAGAGUUAUGGUAACCUCGUCCUCUACCGUGUUGACCCUUAUUAUUUCUACCACGGCCUCAUCCAUUGUAGUGUCCUUUUGCAAAUUGAUUUCCAUUAACAGGUGACUGAUAUGACUAAUUUCCAUUAACAGAUGAUGAUAAAUUAGAAAUGUUUUUCCUUGAGUGGCCACCAACAAAACGGUUUGAGAAUUGACUCUUCAGAAGUAUUUGCAUUAAUGUGAGCUUCUUUAGUAAGAAGGAGUGGUCAUAAUGCAAUGAAGGAAGGAAGUGUGCCAGUAGCAUUUAAUCCAGACACAAAGGUACGAUAAGAUGAAGGUAAUCCUUGUAGCGCUUGAGUGACUAGAUCAUCAUCAAUUACAGGUUUACCAAUUGCUCUGAGAGAGCAGGCAGUCCAGUGAAGUUUUUAAAGAUAAUUCUCUUCAUAGAAAGGGACCCUUUUUUGAAGUUUUGGAAUUUAGACUUGAGAUGAAUUAUAGAGGAAGAGACUUGAUAUAAAUAUAGGGAGGCUAAGGUGUCCCAAGCUUGUUUUGAUGUCUCACAAGAAUAUUUCAAAAGUGUGUCAAGAACAGCGAAAGAGAGGGUUGCAUUAAUCCAACUUAAUGCAAUAGUAUCACACUGAAUCCAUAGCCUGAAAUUAGUGUGUUCUGGUAAUGGACAUCGUAUGGUUCCAUCUACUAAGGAAAGAAGAUUGUGACUUUUAAGGAUGGUGAGAAAAACUUUCUUCCAAGUAAGGUAGUUGACGUAUGUCAAUUCAAUAGGAACAAAACCUUUGAUAUUGGAAACUGUUGGAGGGGGAUUUGGAAGGCUAAGAGAAGAUUGAUUUAUAGCAGUUUGAGCAGAGGCAGUGGUGGCCUGAGAUGAGGAAAUUUAUGAAGCCAUGGAAAGGAUCGUUUAAGGCUUUGAUACCAAGAUGAAAUAGAUAAAGUGAAGGGUUAAAGUGUGAGCCUUGCUCAUUCUAUAUUUCUGUAUUUAUAAAGCGGAAUUACAACAUAUAUCUAUCUAACAGAUAAGUACAAGAAUAAAUACAAAAUAGAGUUCUACUAAAACUAGGAUACAAGAAGAUAACUGCAACAAAAACAAGGUUAUACUCCUCCAAAUUUCAAGUCACAUAAUGCUGGUGCUAACAAUUUCUCACCACAUAAUAGGGGUAACAACUAUACUAGCACUGGUAGCAAGUCUUCCCAAACUGCAAGCAUGGUAGUAGGACCAGGUGAUGCUGCCAGUUCCAGUCAUGAUAUGAAUUCUGCACCACUGGCAAAACCUUAUACAUUCACAGAUGAAGAGCACACUCAAAUCAUGAACAGGUAUUGCCACUUGUUUUUUAUCCGAGGCUUGUUCUGACAGUUGGAUUGUAGAUUCAGGAGUUACACAUCAUGUGUCUGCCCAUAGACACUUGUUCAAAGAUAGCACCAGCCUGGUUCCAAGACACUUGGACAAAUUGCACCUUCCAAUAAGUGAUGAAGUCACAAUUUCCCACACUGGAGAAGCCUAUAUGUUUACAGAUGAUGUGAUCAAAGAUGUCCUCUUUGUUCUAGAUUUUAGACUAAAUUUGUUUGUUGCUAAGAUAACCAAGGAACUGUCAUGCUUUGUGUCCUUUUAUCUUGAUUUUUGUGUAUUUCAGGACCUCUUCAAUGGCAAGGUGAAGGGGAUUGGUAGAAAAGAGGGUGGAUUGUAUGUUCUUAAAGGAGAAUGAAAAGAUAAUUGUUAUACCCAUUUUAACACUGGUCAAAAUAGUGAACAACGUAUUGGAAAACUUCAGAGUUAAAUUUAAGGAAGUCGCCACCUAAUUAGUUCUACGGUGAAUUAGGACACCUAUUACAAACUACGUGAUUAAAAUAAAUAAUGACUUCAUUUUAAGGUCUGCAAAACCUAAAAUUCUAGGUAAGGAUUCUAUUUAUCCUAAAGGGAAGGGAUUAGGCACCCUAAAGGAUCCGUUAACUACAGUUAACCGGCCAAACUUAGAUUAGAUAAGAAAAUUAAAUAUUAAAUUAAGAAAAUAUAUAUAUAAGGCAUUAAAAAAAAAAAUUUUUGUCUUUUAUAAGAUAAUAUAUGCUAAUUAUAAAGAUUAGAAAAUGUUUUAGAACAUCCUCGCCAUAAAUAAAAAUAAAAUAAAAUAAAGUUUUUAACUAAAAAUAAAUAAAAAUUUAUUCUAAAGGAUGAUCCUUCGGCUUUUUUCUUAUUUAUCAAAUUUUAUAAAAUAAUAAGUCACUUACCUUACUCUACAUGAAUAGAUAAAUUAAAUAGUAGUUUAAACAUAUAAUGACUUGAGAAUUUAUUGUUUAUUACGAUAAAAUAUUUUUUAUUGUUAUUAGGAAUACUUAAAAGGGACUUGCGAAAUGUCAUUUUUUAUUAAAAAUAAACUUUGAUUUGCCGUAUCUAAAAUUAGUAAAGCCGGUUUUCUAAAUUAGCAAUAAUACGCCUAUCUACCACAAAUUUAUAUUUAAAGGAUUUCCAAAUUAUUACCUAAUAAGAAACUAACAUUAUUCUAAAGAUAAACUACUAUUUCGUAUUAAAGAAGUAUUAAAAGGAUUCUAACAAACUUGGUAAUUAUUCUAAAGAUAUCUUUUAACCUACAAAUUUUAAAACUUUUAAUGAUGUAAAUUAAAUGUCGAAGUCUAGUGAUUAUGCUAAGUCUAAAAUCUAACGAGCGAAGAGGGAACGAUAAAAAUUCGCUACACAAAAUCACAUAAGAACAUAUAAAAACACAACUUUUAAAUAAUAGUGCACGAAAUAUUAAAUAAAGAAAAGAAAUAAUAAUAACAGGUUUCUAUGGAAGAAGAGUAAAGCUUGAAAAGAAGGAAGGAGGCACUAGACUGCUAGAAGGAGAUACAUAAUGCAAUUUGCUCGCUUCUCUGAUUUGAACAGAGAUGGAGUCAUGCCAUGAGACUCCAAACACACUCCCGAGUGUACAUGAAAAAAUAAGAAAAAUAAAGAUUAGGAGCCAAACUAAUUGUAAGGAAAAUGAACGGAAAGAAAUACGUGCCACAUGAAUAUUCAAAUAUUAAAUUUUAAUAAAACCGCGAAAAUAAAUCAGCAUAUACCUAUUAGGAUCAAACAUUUGGGAAUAAAUAUUUUGGGAUGUAAACAACUUUUGUCUCAUAUAACAGGCAACUCAAUCCAAAUGAACAUGAAAAAGAAAGUAAAUUAACAAGACUUCUAACAAUUCAUCAGGGAAAAACAUACAUUUAAUCCUUGUCAAGGAACACGUGAACCAGCCUCAUAAAAAAAACCUCAUAUCAUAAUAUUCAAACCUGUUAUCCGUCAAACUCCACAGCAACAACAACAACAACAAAAAAUCCAUUGUAUUCCCACAGUGAUAAACAUAAUGAGUUUUGGACAAAAUCAAAUAAAAUACCCUUUCCAUUAAAAACCUUUCAUAGCAUAACUUUUAAUAGAACAUUUUUCCUUAUAUCUCCUAACGUUUUAUAACAAUAUAAUAAUACUUUAAUUAAGCGUAAUCCUUUCUCGGUAAAUAUUUCAAAUAAAGAAGGACACUAGUUUACGGCAAAGCUAUUCAACAUUUGUUAUCUUAUGAAAAGAAAGAAAGAAAGAAUUUAGACUUUUAAAAAAACUUUUCCUUUAAAAAAAAAAAAUCAAUAAAGCUUUAAAAUUAAUUGAUAAAGAAAUGGCAUCCCUUUUAAUGCAAAAAAAGAUAAAGUAAAGCAAUUGUUUGGUUUUUUUUCUUUCAACACCCCUUUUAAUAAAAAAAAAGAUGCAACUAUUUGCCCUUUCUUUCAUGCACCUCUGGUGCCAUAAACGGAACACGUAUCAAUUUUCGAAAAAAAUAAUAUGAGUAUAAUUAAUAUUUUCUUCAUUUUUUAUUUUUAGUUGACCCUCUUUUUAUUUAAAAAAAGUAAUUUGUUUCACAUUACUUGUCCCAAUUGUAAAAUCAAGAUUAUUUUAUACAUAUUUUUCCAUUCUACUCAUAUCAUUACAUGACUAAACAAAUAUACAUACUCAAAGUUAUGUUUUUUUAAAGCAUAAUUAAUAAGGCUAAUUUGAUAAAAAUAAAUUCUAUUAAUUAUUCCUUAAUGAGAGUACUAAGUUCAUAGGGCCAACUAAAAUAAAAUGGAGAGGGUAUUUAGUAUUGAUGAUAGCAUUGAAGAUAUAUUUAAAAUCUCCGCAAUACCAAAAUAAAAUUCCAGGAUGAUAACAACAACAUACCAAGGAAGGCCUAAAAUUAAUUAAUUCAUAAGAAAAGAUCAAAAUGAGGCAAUCUUACUAAAAUAGGAACGACAGCAACAAGAACACCAAAUAAACUCUAAAUAUGAAACUAGAACAUAGAUAUUGGACGAGUUAACAAAAAAAAAUAUUUAAAUAACAUUAAUUCUUAUCAACCAUUUUUACGCAUAGCCAUAAAAGAAAUAGAAUAAGCAAACAGAUCCAGACAGGCAGAGUUGAGAUAAAUGACAAGAAGCUAUAAACAAUCAUAUUUUAUUUCUAAAAAAAACUGAAACAAAAAAUGUGAAGAUGAAGGCGAUUACUGACCUUGUUUGGAGAAACGAACUAGGGCUUCAACUCAAAGACUCGAACUUCAAAUAAACAAGGGAAAAAUAGUAGGCCCCUGGAGAAUUGAUCUCUCUUCACCCUUUUAUUGUGAAGAAGACUCCCUUUUUAAAGGAAAAAGGGCUGUAGCGACUUCUUCAAGUAUCCCAAAAUUCAAAUCAAACGAAAAAAAGAGGAAGAAGGAAAAUGAGCACCAAAGUUUUCCUUUUCAAAGAUUAUGGGCUCUGCAAAAGUCAAAAUUUUUGGUGAACUUUCCGUGAUUGAAGUACGUUUGGUUGAAUUUAAUGUGAAGAGAGGAUUUUUAGGAUUGUGUUGGUCAUAUUGCUGAUGUUGCUGUUAUUUGAUUAUUAACAGCUUGUUUGGAUGGUGGUUUCCCAUGGUAUGGUAUGGUAUGGUAUGGUUACCAUGGGAACCAUGUUGUUUCCAUGAUUUUCUAAAAAUGGUGGUAUGGUGUGUUACUAUUCCAUGGUUUGAUAACCAUGGAAUGAAGCAAUUUAUUGAACCACCAAAUUGGUGGUGUGCCAUGGUUUUCAUUUUUCUUUUCCAACUAUACCCUUAUAUAAUUUUCUUUAAUCCUAUUUUAUCCUUAUCAACAAAAUACAUGCUAAGACUACGCAUUUGUUAACAAGAUCGAAGAUUGCAAGACUUCCUGUUAGCAAUAUAAAAAUUUAAAGAGUGAGAAAAAUGAUCACAGUUAUUUAGUAGUAGUAGUUUUUAAUGCCAAUAAAAACUCAAUUCGAUAAAAAAAAAUUGAAAAUUGAAAUGGAGGAAAAUAGCGUGAAUGCACAAAAAGCAUAUAUAUGGGAAGUGAUUUUUGAACUCUAAGAUACAUACAGGUAUACCAAUUGUUUUAUUGAUUGGGAAGUACUUCCCGAUUACAUUAGUUUGCUUUCGUCAAACCUUUAUUUAGAAAAUACCCUUGUGAAUUUGGUGUCUUAAAAGGAUCAUCGGGUAGCUAUGAGAAGCAUCAAGAAAGAAAGGACAACUGGCUACGCUAGCACUGAUAUGGAUAAAAGAUUUGAUAUCUCAAAUGUAUUACAAUUAGAGGCAUUUUAGUAAAUUUACCUGUUACCAUACCCUACAAUACCAUCAAACCAAACAAAAAAUCUAUUGUUAAACCGUAAUGAACGAUACACUCCAUCUAAACAUGGUACUGCACCAUACCAUACAAUAUCAUACCAUACUACACCAUACCAUACAUUGUAAGGUGAGCUGGGUCAGGGGGUUUGGUUUGGGCUAGUAAAAUGAGUUUUGGGGCUGGUCUUGCUACAUUUUAAGGAGCUAAAUUUAAUUAAAGAAUUUGGCCCAGUCGGAUCAAUGAAUUUAUCUAAUUCUCGUCGAUCCAUUUCAACUUGACUAAUUCAUCGAUGCUUAUUAAUUUUCUCAAUAUAUAUAUAUAUAUAUAUAUAUAUAUAACUAAAAAAAAAUAGUGUAAAUAUUGCAAAACAAUAUAAUAAGAUAGUAAAUAUUAUGUUAAUAUGCUAACAUAUGUUUGUUUAUUCAUUUUUUAAAAAAUAGAAUAAAAUAGUGAAAUGAUAAUUUAAAAUUUAUUUAUUUAUUUAUUUUUGAUUAAAUUUGUGAAGUGCGAUAUUAGUAAAAAAAAAUUCAUUUUCAAACUGUUAACGUUGAAACAUAUUUUGAAGAAGAAAAAAGAAAAAAAAAAAUCAAAAAUUCCAAGCAUCAAGAAAUUAAUUUUAUGAAAAGGAGAGCCAAAAUUGGGUGUCAACAAUAAUACUGAUCAUGUAGGACCAAAACACAGCAGAUUCAUUAUGGAAGCUAUUGUUCCCGAUUGCAGACUGUGGCACCAAAGACUUGGGAACCAAGCUCCUCAGGUUUUAAGAUACUUAGACAUUUUGAUGAAUCACAGUGAUGUAAAUAUGUUGAAUAAAUGCACUGUAUGUCCACUAGCUAAACAGACAAGAAUGUCAUUUCCCAUAAGUACUACUAAAUGUUCUGCAUGUUUUAAACUUGUACACAUGGAUUUAUGGGGUCCUUAUAGAACAUCUACAUUUGAUAAUAAGUGUUAUUUCUUAACUAUGGUGGAUGAUUAUAGUAGAUAUACUUAGGUUCAUCUGUUGCAGCAAAAAUCUGAGACCGUAGUAUCUAUUAAGAGAUUCAUAUCCAUAAUUAGAACACAGUUUGGAGUGGUGAUAAAGGCUAUUAGAUCUGAUAAUGGGACUGAGUUGAUAUUCAAUGUCACACAUUAUUUUAGUCUCUAGGUAUUCUACAUCAGACUAGUUGUCCUCACACUCCACAACAAAAUGGAGUGGUUGAGAUGAAGCACAAGCACAUAUUAAAUAUAGCUAGAGCUCUUAAGUUUUAGUCCCACUUGUGCAUCAAGUAUUAGGGAUUAUGUGUGAAAGCUGCAGUAUAUAUUAUGAACAAGUUACCAACCUCAGUCUUGAGUUGUAAGAGCCCAUAUCAGUUAUUAUUCUCUAAGGAUCCCAAGCUAUCUCAUUUGAGGGUGUUUGGAUAUCUGUGUUAUGUGACUGUUGUCCCUAGAGGUGAAAAGUUCUCUGAAAGAGCUAAACCUGCCAUGUUAGUAGGAUAUUCAGAGUCUCAAAAGGGUUACUUUCUACUGGACAUCCACCCAAAAAGACUAUUAGUGAGUAGGGAAGUUGUGUUUCAUGAAAAUUCAUUCCCCUUUGAUCCAUCACAAGAAAAAUUACAGCAUCCAAAACUAAUGAAGACAUCAAUGACUUUUUGGUAUCCACAGAUGAUGAAGUUGGUACUGAUAUUCGUUUAGAGGAUAUUCACAUUGAUGAUGCUGACUUUGCUGAUGCUGCACAACCUGAUGUACCUUUCUUUGAUGCAAAUUCUGAAGCUGAUUGCCAAGCUGAGCCUUCUCUGACUUAAGCUUCUUCUAAUGUUGCAGUACCUGGUGCUAUUUCACCUGACACCACUCAUAAAGAAAUAUGUCAAUAUGAACAUUCCCUAUCUCAACCCUCUUCCAGUAGACCAACAAGAAAAAGAAGGCCAUCUGUGUGGAUGCAUGAUUAUGUUGACACUUCAAAAACCCAGAGAUGCAAGCAACCCUUAGCCAACAACCAUUCUUAUAGUAAACUAAAACCUGCAUAUUAGUGGUACUUGUUAAACAUCUCCACUCUGACUGAGCCUCAACACUAUAAAAAAGCUAUAAAAUAUGAAAGAUGGGUGAAGCUAUGAAGUUAUAAAUCCAAGCAUUGGAGGCCAAUAACACAUGGACCAUUGUUGACCAGCCCAAAGAAAAGAAAACUAUUGGUUCCAAAUGGAUAUACAAGAUUAAAUAUAUUACAAAUGGUAAAGUGAAAAGGUUCAAAGAAAGAUUAGUGGACAAGGGAUAUAGCCAACAUGAAGGGCUAGAUUAUUAUGAAACAUAUUCACCAGUGGCAAAAAUGGUUACUGUCAGAAGUGUGAUUGUUGUAGCAGUAUCUAGAGGAUGGCCUCUUUAUCAAAUGGAUGUCUAUAAUGCAUUUUUUCAAAGGGAUCUUGAAGAGCAAGUGUGCAUGGAGCUUCCAGAAGGUUUUAGAAGCCAAGGAGAGCACACAAAGUUUGCAAGUUGCUCAAUUCCUUGUAUAGCCUUAAGCAGGCUUCCAAACAAUGGAACCUGAAACUAACUCAUGUUUUGCUUGAUACUGGAUUCACUCAAAGUGCUCAUGACUACUCUCUCUUCAUUCUACAUCAAGGGGAUGAAACAGUAGUAGUUGUUGUAUAUGUUGAUGACCUACUCCUUACUGGAAGCAAUGCAACAUUGAUUGAUGCAACAAAAGCCAAGUUACAUCAGCAUUUCAAGAUGACAGACUUGGGGAAUCUCAAAUGCUUCUUAGGAAUUGAAGUCCUCAAAUCCACUUCAGGGGUGAUAUUAAACAAAAAGAAGUAUUUCCUAGAAUUAAUUUUAGAUGCUGGUCUUAGUGGUUCAAAACUUGCAAUCACUCCCUUAGAAUCCAAUGUAAGGUUAAUAUCACUUGAGUAUGAUCAAGACACAGGUGCACAAGGUGAUGAUUUGUUGUCUAAUGCUUGUUUUUAUCAAAGACUAGUGGGUAAACUCAUGUAUGACAAUAUUACAAGAUCAUAUAUUAGUUUUGUAGUGCACACUCUCAGCCAUUUUAUGCAACAUCCCAAGAGAUCACACUAGGAGGUUGCUAUCAGGGUAGUCAGGUACCUUAAAGGCUCUAUUGGUCAAGGAAUCUGGGUAAAGGCUGAGCAUUAUACCACUCUAACUUGAUGGUGUGACUUAGAUUGGGCUGCUUGUCCCAACACCAGGUGAUCAGUUACUGGUUAUGCAGUUCAUUUUAGUGAAUCUUUAAUUUCUUGGAAGUCCAAGAAAUAGCAUACUAUUUCCAGGAGCUCCGCUGAAGCUGAGUACAGAAGCAUGGCUUCAACAGCUGCAGAGAUAACUUGGUUGGUUGGUUUGUUCCAGGAACUCAAGGUUCCCAUUACCUUGCCCAUAUUAGUCUUUAGUGAAAGCAAUUCAACAAUUCAAUUGGCCAAUAAUCCUAUGAUUCUUGAGAGAACAAAACACAUAGAGAUUGACUGCCAUUUCAUCAGGGACAAGAUCAAAAGUAAACUGAUAAAGCUAUAUAUGUUCACACCGAUGUAUAGGUGGCUGACCUUUUUACCAAGGGACUAAGCCAAGCCAAACAUUCUCAUUUAUUAGGCAAGCUUGGUGUGUAGAAUAUAUUGCACCCUGUAGCUUAAGGGGGCGUGUUUUAACAAUUGAUCCAAGCUCAAAGUAUGAUCUCAAGUUAUGAUACACAUAGCACAGAACCACAGAAAACUAACUGUUCCAUUGGAUGGAAGGUUCUGGAAGCUUCUCAAUUGUUAGUCAGUUAGCAAUAGUACGUUGUUAGAGGUUGUUAGGCAAGUGGUUAGUCAGUUAUGAUGAAUUGUCACUAAGCUGGAAAUGAGGUCACUAUCUUAGCUCAAGUAUAUAAAUAGCUACAAUGUUGUAAUGUGCAGACGAUGAAGAAUAAAAUUUCCAACUACACUCUGUCCUUUCUUCUUCCUUCUUCCUUUUAUUUUUGUGAUCUUUUGCUAUAUAAACAACUCCUCCUCAAAGAAUGAUGAGACAACUUACAAUUUACACACUCUGGAUAAUAAGCUCACGUGAGUCCCUCUAUUCUUAGCCAAGAAUUUAUUUUUAUGCAGAUUUAACUUAUAUACAUUGACAACUUAAAUUUUUUUUUUACAACAAGUGUGUUUUAAUCUGUUGUAGCGGUAACAUGUAAAUUCUUUAUAUAAGCAUCUCAUUUUCCUAUUCCUUUCUUCCCAUAUUAUAGUAUACUAUUCAACAACAACAAUAACAUACCCAGUGUAAUCCCAUAUAGUGGGGUUUGGGGAAAAUAAAGUGUACGCAGAUCAUACCACUACCUCAGGUAAAGUAGAGAGGUUGUAUUAUAGUAUACUAUUCACUAUGGAAAACUCCCAACAACCUCUAGCCACAGAGAAUUUUUCAUAUAGUUGGUUGUUGAAUAGAAAACCAUCCAUUGAUGGCCUAACAGAAUCCCCUAGACCCUCUUAUAGUAGUCAUGAUGAUGCUAAGGAAGAGUUAAAAUUUAUCGCUUAUUUGAAAAGAUUCCUAAAAGAAGAACAAAACUUCAACUUUGAUGUUCAUCCUGUUUCAGACUAUGUUUGUGCUGAUGAAAUCUUCUCUGAUGGAUAUUUCAUGCCUCGAUAUCUUGAUAGAUCAAAGAUUGAAUCUUUUGUGAAGCCUUCAAUAAUUUCAACACAAAUUCAUCAGUACCCUCAACUAGUACUCCUCCCACACCAAUAUCUAAACUUUCAAAUUCCACAACUACUUAAGCUGAUUUUCUUGAAAAAUGGAGAAAGUUUUCGCGCAAAAUCUUGGUUAAGUGGUUUGGAUUCGUAAGGACAAUCUCCAAAAGUAUAACAAGUUCAAGAAAAAGUACUGAAAAAGUUGAUGACCUUCAAAGAAAAGUAAGUGAAAUUCAAAGCUGCAAGAGUACUACUGAUACUUCAUUUCAGGGAUCUCCUCGUUGAAUGUUGAAAUCUUAUUCUGUUGUCAAUUGGUGUGGAAAUGAUAACAACCAAAGAAGAAGUAGUAGUACUAGAAGAGUUAAAAGUUUGAGGAAGGUGAAAAAAUGGAGUAAUAUUAACUCACCACAUGAGGCUUGUUCCCCUAUAAAAAGUCCAUCCAAUGAUCAUUCUACUUAUGUUUGGCGUGAGAAGGCGAUUUCUAAUGUAAUUUUGUACUGUAAGAGAUCGUAUGUCAACUGAGCCUGAUAUCGAUCAUCGUGAUCGUUUUGACCAGAAGAAGCAAUUCUAGAUGUUAAAUUUCAUCCUUAAAUUUUUUUCUCAGAUUUAUAUUUAGAUUUUUGUCUCUAUCAUGUAUCACUCAGAUUCAAUAUUUUAUACAUUCUGAUGUGAAAACGAAAAACUUAAAAUACACAAGCACACCCAUCUUGCUUGUGGUGGACAGUUAAUUGCACUAAGAGCAACUUAAGAUAGAAUUAGAAAGAAAUUAAAAGGGACAAAGGAUUUAAUUUGAUUGAAUGCAAGUUGAGGGAGAACUCAUUACUGCAAUUUUCAUAAUUUUCCCACUUAUUAUCCUUAAAAUUCUGAUAUAUGUAAUCAGAUGGGAAAAAAUCGGGAUUUAUUAUAUACAAAUUAAAGGAUGACAUAAUUAAGAUAUGAAGAUAAUAUUAGUCGAUAGAUAAACAAAACAAAUAUCAAAUUAAUGACGUUUUACAUUCGGUUCCACUUUAAAAAGUUUUGAUAUGUUAGUUUUUAGGCACACUCUUAGUACAAGCACUAUGAAUAAAUAUGAAUAUCAAAUCAAUGCCCACUAUUUGUUUAAAACAAAAAAUGCCUAAGCUUACGUGACUAAAAUAUAAAGUUUACCAUACAACUCCUACAAAGGUACAAAUUAAAUCUUGGAGCAUGAGUGUAUAUAUAUAUAUAUAAAUCUGAUGUGUACAUUAUUUUGACAUACUUAACCACCAAUUCAUGAUAACUUAUAAAGCUGUAUUCCUCCAAUAAACACAUGGUAAUUUGAAGUCUCAAUCUCCAACAGUCCUCAAACAACCUUAACCAACUCAAUCUUAAAGUACAACAGAUAAGAAACGAGUUUGGAACAAGGUGUUAUUUUUUAGCAAAUAUUGGUAAGGAAAAUGAGGUGCCUACAAGUUUUGGAAUGGAGAGUCAACAUGCCGGAUGGCUCAUCGCGAAUUUUAGUGCCAGAGUCCAGGCAAACAUGCAAGUUUAUCAGUAGAUUGCAAGGCAUAAUUAACUUUUUGAUUUUUAACUUUUAAGUCACUUAAAAAUAAUAAUCCAAACGUCCUAUUACGUUGAAGUCAUGAAGUGUCGUUGGACUUUCAUAAUUGAUUUAGCUUAAUUAUAUUAAUACUCCCUCCAUCUCAUUUUACUCAUCUCAAUUUGACAUUGCACAUUGUUUAAAAAAAAAAAUUAUAACAUGGCUAUUUACCAUAGUAUUUCUAUUAAAUGAUGAUUACAUUUUAAUUUGGAGAUAAAAUAAUUAAUAUUAAAGGUCAAAAAGAAAAAAAAAUUAUCUUAUCUUGAUUAAUGAAAAAUACCAAGUAAAAUAAAAAAAUCAAAUUAGAAAAUUUGGGACGAGUAAAAUGGGACGGGAGAGUAUUUAUUAUUAUAACACACAUAAUUUAUUUGUGAGGAAAAAAGAGACUUAAGUAUAAUAUAUCUUUUUUAAGAAUAAAUUGUUCAUAAAGCACUUAAUAUUGAAGUAGACAGUUUUAAAAAUUUGAAGGCAGUUGAUGUGAAACGUAAAAAAUGAGCGUUAAUUACAAUGUUAUCCCUAUUUAACUUCUUUUCCAAGUAGAACUAGAAGAUUUUCCAAUUGCUUCCUUAAUACAGUUAUACUUAACAAAAAUGAGUGUGAAUUUACAAUAUUACCCCUACUUAAAUCCUUUUCCAAGUAGAGCUAAGAGAAGCUUUCCAAUUGCUUCCUUUAUAAUAAACCAACUCCCCUGCAUUGCAACUCCAUAUCCUUCAAUUUUCUCCUCCAACAACAAUGGUGAAAUCGACGAAAGUUCACUAUAUGCUUACGGAAUUGGAAAUGGAUGGGGCUUUGCAGUUAAUUCAGCUUAGCCGAGAUUCUUAUAAUGACGAAGAAAGCAGGGAAAUACACAGGAGACAUCUUAUUCUUCAACGGCCACGGCUAAAUUAAUAAGGAAAAGGAAUUUCCGGUCAGUCGUUGAUCUCUAUGAAGAGACUCAACCAUUGAUAAAGAUGAUGAUGAAGAAGAAUAAGCAUUGAACAGGCUUUGAAAAUUAAACCUUAGUUAUACAUAGUAAUGUUAUGUAAAUUAAUCAUACGCAAUUAAUUCGGUGUACAAUAAUCCAAUUGUAUAAGUAAGCAUAUUACUGUACUAAACUCAAUCAACUUUUAUGGUAUAAGCUUUGUUGGGAUGUAAAUUUCUAAGACCUUUUGUUAGAAUUUCAUUAUAUGUAGUUGUAAGGCCUGUUACUCUUUAGAUUAUUUUCUUUACUAAAGUUGAACGAUAGUUGGAUCAUGUGGGUGAAAAUGAAGGACUGCAAACAUGUUAUAACAGGAUAUGUGUCGCGACCCGAGCCAAGUCACUGGCCGCAACGGGCAUCCCGAAUCAUCAAGGACCGAGAGACCCAUAUCUCUGCCCAACCCACUAGUGAUAUUGUCCACUUUGGGCCCAGGCCCUUGGCAUUAAAACACAUCACUAGUUAGUAAGACUUGCUUACUUAUAUACCUAGUAUCCCUCCUACUUUUGCCGAUGUGGGACUCCUUCCUAAGUUGGGGUGUUUCAUACACCCCCUUUAUGGACUCAGUGUCCUCGCUAAGGUUUUCCCCACCGAAUGAGAUUUGGCUACACUCAGGACUAAAGUUUUCCCCGCCUUAUCAGGAUGAUAGAGCAAACUUAAAUCAUAGUCCUUGAGUAACUCAAGCCACCUUCUCUGCCUGAGAUUCAACUUCUUCUGACUGAAAACAUAUUGGAGUCUUUUAUGAUUAGUGGAAAUAUCAACAUGUACCCCAUAAAGAUAGUGAUGCCAAAUCUGUAAAGCAUGGACACAGUUGCUAAUUCAAGAUCGUGAGGGGGUAAUUCCCCUCAUUAUUUUUAAGUUUUCUCGAGGCAUAGGCUAUAACCUUACCACGUUACAUCAAUACACAACCAAUACCAAACCGUGAAGAAUCACAAUAAACCACGAAGCCUUUAUUUCUGUCCGGUAAAGUCAACACUGGGGCGAAGGUCAAUCUAUCUGUUAGCUCCUGAAAACUCUUAUCACAUCCCUCUGACCAUUGAAACUUGACCAUUUUCUGAUUCAAUCUAGUUAAAGGAACGACAAUGGAGGAAAAUCCCUCCACAAAUCUCCUGUAGUAACCAGCUAGACCCAUAAAGCUUCUAAUUUCAGAAGGUGUAGUAGGUCUGGGCCAAUUUUUCACUGCCUCAAUCUUUUGAGAAUCAAGCUGAAUGUCUUUACCAGAAAUAAUAUGGCCCAAAAAUGCUACCGACUCCAACCAAAAUUUACACUUGGAGAAUUUAACAUACAGCUCACGGUUCUUAAGUGUUUGAAGAGCAAUCCUGAGAUGAUUAGCAUGCUCCUCCUUACUUUGAGAGUAGACCAAAAUAUCAUCAGUGAAGACAAUUACGAACAUAUCCAAUUAUGGUUUAAACACCUCUAUUCAUAAGGUCCAUAAAAACUGCAGGAGCAUUAGUCAAACCAAAGGACAUAACUAAAAAUUCAAAGUGACCAUAUCGAGUUCAGAAAGCUAUCUUCGAAGUAUCACAUUCUGUAACUUUUAAUGGAUGGUAACCAGAUCUUAGAUCUAUUUUAGAAAAAUACUUGGCAUCCUGUAGCUGAUCGAAUAUCUAUUCUAGGAAGGGGUACUUGUUCCUUAUAGUGACUUUAUUCAGCUGGCGAUAAUCGUUGCACAUCUGAAGUGAACCAUCCUUUUUAUGCACGAACAAGACUGGAGCGCCCCAAGGAGAAAUGUUAGGCCUUAUAAAACCUUUAUCAAGAAGAUCUUUCAACUGCUCUUUCAACUUUCUUAACUCUGCAGGAGCCAUUUUAUAUGGUGGAAUGGAGAUAGGCUGAGUGUCGGGAAGAAGAUCAAUCCCAAAAUCUAUUUCUCUAUCGGGAGGAACUCCUAGAAGAUCGUUAGGAAAAACUUUUGGAUACUCAUUGACAACAGGAACAAACUGGGUAUAUAAGUAAGUAAGACUUACUAACUAGUGACGCGUUUUAAAGUCGUGCGGGCCUGAGCCCAGAGCGCAUAAUAUCACUAGAGGGUUGGGCAGAGACAGGGGUUUCUCAGGACUUUGUUGGUCCAGGAUGCCCGGCACGGCCAGGGCCUCAGCUCGGGUCGUGACAGUUGGAAAGAGACAGGGGUCUCUUGGGCCUUUGAUGGUUCGGGAAGCCUGUCUCGGCUAGGGACUUGGCUCGGGUUGCAACAAUAUGCCUUCUUACGUGAACUCAUGAUUACAAAUUGAGAAAAAAUGUUACCAGUAGCUAUAUGCAUUACAAACUAAUUUUUACUACUAACCUCCAAGUUAAAACUAGUCAAUUUAUGACUGAGUCCUCACAAUACAGAUUAGGGACAUAAGAUGAAAUUAAAUUGAGCCCAUGGUCAGGGAGAAUUCACUUACCUCAGCUUGUUUUGGUUGUAUCAAAAUCAAUUUUACACAACCUCUCAUUUUCCAACAACAAUAGCUACACUCCAUUGCGCUAGUAAUGGAUGUGUUAACGCGGCGUAUCCAAGGGGAGGUGCCGUGGUGUAUGCUUUUUGCAGACGAUGUAGUCCUGAUAGAUGAGACGCGAGGGGGUGUGAACGACAAAUUAGAGCUGUGGAGGCAAACUCUGGAGUCUAAAGGGUUCAGGGUGAGCAGAACCAAGACAGAGUAUGUGGAAUGUAAGUUUAAUGACGUAAGGCGAGAGAAUGAGGUAGUGGUGAGGCUAGAAGCGCAGGAGGUAAAGAAAAGGGAUAAGUGCAAGUACCUCGGGUCCGUGAUCCAGAGUAACGGUGAGAUUGACGAGGAUGUCUCGCACCGUAUCGGGGCGGGAUGGAUGAAGUGGAAACUUGCAUCGGGGGUGCUGUGUGAUAAGAAGGUGCCGCCCAAGCUUAAAGGUAAAUUCUAUAGGGUGGUAGUCCGUCCGGCCUUGCUGUAUGGAGCGGAGUGUUGGCCAGUUAAGAACUCCCACACCCAAAGAAUGAAGGUGGCAGAAAUGCGGAUGUUGCGCUGGAUGUGUGGACUGACCCGAAGGGAUAGAGCUCGGAAUGAGACUAUCCGGGAGAAGGUUGGGGUGACUUCAGUGGAGUGUAAGAUGCGGGAAGCACGAUUGAGAUGGUUCGGACACGUGAAGAGGAGGGGCAUGGAUGCCCCGGUCCGUAGGUGUGAGAGGCUAGCGUUGGAUGGUUUUAGACGGGGUAGGGGUAGACCGAAGAAGUACUGGGGUGAGGUGAUUAGGCGGGACAUGGAACAGUUACAGCUUACCGAGGACAUGACCCUAGAUAGGAAGGUCUGGAAGACGCGAAUUACGGCAGAGGAUUAGGGCCUGUUCGGGUCGCUAAUGUAGGGAGGUAAUUGGUGGGGGUGUAUUCCUGGUAUGAUUCCGUAUUCAAUGUUCUGUUCCGUGUUCCGUGUUCUAUGUUUGUUACGAAUCUGUGUGCUUUCCUCUGCUUUAUAUUCCUGCAUCCCUGCUUUACUCUGUUUUAUAUUCCUUAUGGCUGCAGUAUCUAUGUUAUGUCAUCUGCUUCUGUGCUGUACUAUGUGUUUGUUUGAUAUCUCGUAACUUGAGCCGGGGGUCUUUCGGAAACAGCCUUUCUACUUCAUCAGAGGUAGAGGUAUGGACUGCGUACAUCUUACCCCCCCCAGACCCCACAAAGUGGGAAUACACUGGGUUUGUUGUUGUUGUUGUUGUUGUAAUAGCUACACUCCAUUCCAAACAAGUUGUGAUCGACUACAAAAAUCCUUUUGUAUUUCUCCAUUUAAGCUCACAUCUAGAAAACUUAACUUAAGUAUUUCCAAGGUUUCAAAUUGUCAAUGCCACAUAGUUCAUUAAAUUGCAUUUGUUUGGAAUCAACAAGUUUGACCGAUAUGAACACCACUUAAAUCUCUUAUAACACAGACUUUACAUUAUUUUCAUUAUUCAUCGAAUUUUGAAUCGUGCAAAUCUCUUAUGAGGUAGAUUUUUGCAUGGUGUGUUGACGUAAUCAAACAUUUCUUAUGAACCAACUUAAACAAAUACACACCCACACUCUCCGAAAUGGCAUUGACUUUACCCAGUAAUUGAUCACCAAACAUGUUGAAAUCCCAAACAUCCGGUACGCCCAUGGUGUUCGACAAUAUUACCAAACCGUCUUCCUCUACAACAAGCUCAUUCAAGCCUGUUCUUCUCAUGGGCUUUCUAACCUGUGUUUUUCUCUCUACAUCCAGAUGCACCGUCAAGGCUGCUCUCCUAAUCCCACAUCCUUCAUGUUCGUCUUCGCCGCAAGCGCCAAUCGUUCUAGCCCNNNNNNNNNNNNNNNNNNNNNNNNNNNUCAAAUGGGGUUUUGAACUUGAAAUUUACACGUUAACUGCACUUGUUGACAUGUAUGCUAAAAUGGGGUUGUUGCCUUCUGUGCGGAAGCUCUUUGAUGAGAUGGAAAUGAAGGAUGUGCCUACUUGGACUUCUUUGAUUGCUGGGUAUGCCAAGAAUGGAAAUAUGGAAGAAGCUUUCAAGUUGUUUUCGGAAAUGCCUUUGAGGAAUGUGAUUUCUUUGACUGCGAUGAUCUGUGGAUGUUCGCAAAAUGGGAAGUAUGCGGAUGCACUAGCUGUUUACAAGGAAAUAGAGAAAGCCGGAGGGGUAAAAUUCAAGAAUUGAGGCUCGCAGGUUCAGGUUACUCAGGUAAAAUACCAUCAAGUUACACACACCUUCUUAACUACAUUGUCACUUCAGAACAAUCGAUUGACAGGCAAGAUUCCUAUGGAAUUUAUGAUCUUUUCACACAUGUAUCACUUGAAUUUGAGCAGAAAUGUGUUGUCUGAUGUUUUGCCAUCUAUUUCAAGUUUCUUGAAAAUAUUUGAUAGGAACUUGGACUUGAAUCUUUGUUUGUGCUUUGUCUAUUACUAUGGCUUUGUUGUAUCCUUUAGAAUUGUUUUUUUAGGAAUUUAGGCUUUGUUCCAUGAGGCUCAUGAAGAUGCCUAAAAUGCUGAAUCGGACAUGGUCAAUAAUGCCAGAGUUGCGGUCGAGUCUUCCUCGCAGAUGACAAGAUAAUACGACUAACAAGAACAAGCAGAAGCUUCCUGUUGUGCUGCCUUCCCCUGCCUCAACAUCACAAGUGCAUAAUGGUAGUAAUCACACUAAAGUUUGUACUCAACAAGAGAAGUUGAAUUCUUCUCUUGAGUUAUUAACCAAUGGAAACAUCAGCACCCUCGCAAGAUGCAAAGAAAUCAGCAGUCCAAUAUACAUACAAAUAAGUUUCAGGGAGGGGAUGCGGUUGUUUGGGCACCUGUGCAGUCUCAAAGCAAAACUGAAGACGCUGGUGAAACAAAUUAGAAAACUGGAUCUAAUUCAAUUGGUCCUUAUAAUACGAUGAUGAUAAAGGGAAAGAAAUGUCAACGCACAACAAACCUUUUAACACUCUACAGAACUGAGCCUUUUAGCUCCACAAUAAUUGAAUAAAAAAUCUGCAAACGUAAACAGAGGAGCAAAAAGUAUCACCUAUAAAACCUCAUAGCUUCAUCUCAACCUCUUUUGACUUCAUCACACCAGCCACGACAGUAUAAUAACUAAAGUAAUGCCACAUGCAGGACACAACUCAACACACGACUAAAAACUAACGGAAAUAUGAAGUAUGGUCACUUGUUUCCAAAAAGGUAUAAUUAUAUAUGUCAGAAUUCCACAAGAAACAAAUCUGUCAUUACACCUUCCAAGCAACUUGAAACUAACGAUACAGAAGUGCCUCUUCGAAGUUUUAAUAUCAACAAUUAGCUAAGAUGAUGAACAAUGCAGUCAUAGUGUCAACAAAAAAUGAGGUCUUCAUGAUGCUAAACAACAAAAGAUGAAAUAGUAGCUCCAAGCCACAGGAAUCAAAUGUAUGGAAAAGAUUCCAAUUGUAUGUGUUCUUCAUUUACUUUUUAUCUUUCUCCCAAAAGAGGAAUGUGCAAUGUAAGAGGUUUACCUUUCUCGUGUGUUCAAAGCAACUGGAUUGCCUACUGAGGCAGCUCUCAAAGUUUUGGUGGAAAAGAUGGGAGUACCAGAUAGCAAAGCAAGGAGCAAGAUUCGGGACGCACAGAUUGUAUCGAGCUAUUGGAUCGAUCGCAACACAGUUAAAUUAGGUGAGCAUACUUUUACUUCACCCAUCUAUCUAUUUGCUACUAUUUUCGAACUAGCGUAUUGAUAUUUUUUAAUAUAGGAUGCUGUGAUUGGUGGAUGAAAAGAUCGAAAAGGGUCCAUUUGAUUGUGUGCCUAAAUCCAUGGGUGUUAUUGUGCGGGAGCCAAAUGGGACUUGUCAAGGUUGUUUCAUGUCAUCAAUAGCAAUGGAGUCGGGUGCAAUUGCACUUUUUUUUUAAUAACUGUUGUCUUAACUACAUUAGACACUAGGGAAAAUAACUUUUUUUUUAAUAACUGUUGUCUGUACUACAUUAGACACUCUAAAAUAUUUUUCUUUAUUUGUUUGCUGGCUUCGAUAUACUCAGAUUGCCAUAAAAAUUCUUAUCUUUAGUCUAAUUCUAGUAAUCUUGUUGGUUGCCGUGGGCUGUAUAUGCCUCGGAAAUUUCAAUUGGCAAGCAACUGAAUCGGUAUUAUUUUAUCUAUAGAAGUAGGUUCAAUGUUGUUCCUUUACAAGAUGUUGUGUCCGUUUAACUGUUUUUUAUUGUUCUUCAGUUUCCAAAAGUAAAAAAAUUCACACCAAUAGUUUGAAGUGUUAUAUGUCCUUUGUGCAAACAAUUCUUCUGUGGAGUCCAGCUCCACAACAUGAUAUUUAAUCUAGGAAAUGCUUAGUUUUUUUUGAUGUGUUGAACUCUGUCAUAGAAGUUGAUCUUGGUAAUAUCUGGACAUCUGAUUAAAACAUGUUUUGUCUAGGGUGCUGUUGAGAGUUUGCUAGAAUGUAGUACACACAUUCAACUUGCAGAUAGAUCAACUGUUCCAAUUGACGAGUCUUGUAGGCAACUAUUGUUGUCGAGGCUCUUGGAGAAGAGCUCAAAGGGUCUGCGGUGCUUGGGCUUGGCAUAUAAAGAUGACUUAGGUGAGCUUUCAGGAUACAAUGCUGAGACUCAUCCUGCCCACAAGAAGCUGCUUGAUCCGUCCUGAUGCUGCUCCAUUGAAAGUGAUCUAGUUUUUGUGGGAGUUGUUGGACUAAGGGUGAGUAGUGUUAAGUUUUCAAGAAUAAUGAAUCUAGAAAACCUUCAUUUUCCAUAUAGUUUGACAAAAAAACUGAAAUGCAGGACCCACCAUGUGAGGAAGUUCAUAAGGCAGUAAAUGACUGCAGAAGAGCUGGGAUCAAAAUCAUGGUUAUAACUGAAGACAAUAAAUCCACUGCUGAGGCCGUUUGCAGGGAAUUCAGUUGUUUUCUCAUGGUGAGAAUCUUAAGGGAAGUAGUUUUACUGGCAAAGAAUUCAUGGCACUUUCUUCUCAGCAACAAAUUAAGAUAUUGUCACAAGAUGGAGGCAAGGUAUUUUCUCGUGCUGAACCCAGGCACAAACAAGAAAUUGUAAGGAUUCUGAAGGAUAUGGGUGAAGUAGUUGCAAUGCCUGGAGAUGGUGUCAAUGAUGCACCUGCACUAAAAGUUGCUGACAUUGGAAUAGCCAUAGGCAUUACAGGAACUGAGGUGAAAUAAGCUUUUCCGGUGUGGUCGUUACAACUCAUUUUAGUGUUACAUACUUGCGUUAGUGCUCUCCAUCCAGUUAUUUAACCAUGUAAUACCUGACAUACAGUUUUGAAAUAGGAGAGUAGUGAGGUCUACUGAGGGAUUACUCGCCAUGCUGUGACAGUUUAUUAUCUAAAUCUCAAGAAGUAGCCAUGAUUGUGCACCUUGCAUGCGAAUUUUUUCUGCAUAUGUGAACUCAUUGGUCAUUUAAUUAAUUAGCUAAUCAAAGACUAAUAUUUUUAGGUUGCAACAGAAGCUUCUGAUAUGGUCCUGGCAGAUGACAAUUUCAGUACUAUAUUCUCUGCUGUUGCAGAGGGACGUGUGAUCUACAAUAACAUGAAGGCCUUCAUCAGGUUAGUCUUGUAUUUCGGGAAGUGAAUGUUUGAUUAUUCCUACAAUUAGUCAUGCCUUUAUUUUACUUAAUAUCAUAUGUAUUCUUUGCUGAUGCAGAUAUAUGAUAUCAUCCAACGUUGGUGAGGUCAUCUCUAUUUUCUUGACUGCUAUUUUGGGCAUACGAAAAUGUUUGAUACCUGUGCAGUUGCUCUGGGUAAAUUUGGUAACAGAUGGUCCACCUGCUACAGCUCUCGGACUUAACCCUGCCGAUGUUGAUAUAAUGCAGAAACCACCUAGGAAGAGCAAUGAUGCUCUCAUAAACUCCUGGGUUUUCUUCCGUUAUAUGGUCAGUUUGGAUCGCUAUUUCUUAUUCUUCGAUGUGUAUUGCUAAUGUUGCUGCAUUUGUUUUGUAUUUUGCUACUUUGUUGUCUCUUUUAUUACAGUCCUGCAUCAGAUACUGUCCUUUUGAGCAAGGGUCUUUCAGAAACACAGCCUCUCUACAAAGGUAGGGGUAAGGUCUGCAUACAUACUACCCUUUGUACAUCUUAUCCUCCCUAGAUUCAAUCACACUGGUUAUGUUGUUGUAAGCUAUAUUAAUUCUUCAAUUUUCUCGAAUGGUUUGAAAUAAAACUACUUCGUCUUUUUCCUUUUUUCCCAAGUAUUUAUUGUACUUUGUUUUCCUAAGUACGUGAAGAAAGUACUAAUGAUGAGAAUGACUCAUUUGAUUAGAAGAACCAAUGGUACAGGUUGUGCUUACUGCAGCAUUUCCCUAGCCGUGGUGGAUAACCCCUCUUAUGCUGUAUAAAAUUAUCUUUACUUUCAGCUUAUUACGAAAAGUAAUAUGUGCAAUCAAGGAAAAUAUGUUUACCCAUCUGGAUCACCUCCCUUCAUAAGCAAAGACUAUUAUCUUCUAGAUCAUGAUAACAUAAGCUGCCCAGUAAAAGAAAUCGAUGAAUCAAAGAGAGAAAUGAGAUGCUCUUUGUCUAAGCAACCAACUAUAUCUUUUUAUCAUAUUUUAUCUAUUCUUCAGUAUAUUGAACAGACUUCUCGACAAGCUAAGCAGCAUCAUACAUUCUGAUUUCUGAGAUAAUUUUCAGGUCAUUGGUUCUUAUGUGGGCAUUGCAACUGUCGGCAUAUUUAUAGUGUGGUACACCCAGGCUUCUUUUCUUGGUAUUAAUAUUGUGAGUGAUGGCUACACACUUGUUGAACUAUCACAGCUUCGUAACUGGGGUUGAGGCUCAGCAUGGCCAAAUUUCACCGUGAGUCCAUUCAAGGUUGGUAACCGCCUGAUCACCUUUUCUGACCCUUGUGAGUAUUUUACUGUCGGUAAAGUGAAGGCCUUGACACUGUCACUCUCUGUCCUGGUGGCAAUUGAGAUGUUUAAUUCUCUCAAUGCCCUCUCUGAAGACAACAGCUUGAUCAAAAUGCCACCUUGGAGAAAUCCUUGGCUUCUUAUUUCAAUAUCAGCGUCGUUUGGCCUACAUAGCCUGAUACUCUAUGUUCCUUCCCUAGCAGAUAUAUUUGGUAUUUUCCCACUAAGCCUAAAUGAAUGGCUUCUAGUCAUCUUGCUUUCUGCACCAGUUAUUCUUAUUGAUGAAGUCCUCAAAUUUGUGGGGAGGAGGAGAAGAAGAACUAAACUAACAGCUGCAUAAUGUAUUCGUAUAUGCUCAAUUUUAUUGAUUAAAGGAGGUUUUCUUUGAGUAGAUAUGCAAGUUAGGUGGGAAUUCAUGUAUAUUGUUUAGAAAUGAAAAUAUUUUUGGGGUGACAUUGUUGAGGAACUCUGGAAGCUAUGUUGCCUGCACAUGCCUUGGAAGGCUUCUUGUUAUCACAAAAGUCAAGGUUUCUGAAGCAAAACCUAUUGCUUUUUACCUGAUCCUUUCUAGGAGGUUUUUUCAUGUAUUACAAGUUCUAAUUUGUAUUAUUCAUUUAUAAUUGUCUCUGCCAUCUUACGCAGAGUUUCAUGGACUUAAGUGACCGUUUUGGUUUGGUGCUUUAACAUGUAUAUUUCCUCAGUCAUUGCUAUAGUUGUAGUUCUCUUUUUUCUUUUCAAGUUGCUGUUAGUGCGGAACUAGUGAUGACAGCAAGGAGGGUGUUGGACACUUCAAGCUUUACCACGCCCUGAUUUUCAGAAACAUACAUAGCUUGAAUUGUUUGUGAUUCAAGUUGGUGGUUAGGAGGAAAUUACUUCACUCUAGCCAAAAUAGGAAGGAGAGAAAUGUAGGUCCAAAAACCGUUCAGAUUUUUUUGCUACAAUUCUAUUCAACCAUAGAAUCCAAAUCAAUAUCAACGUUGCUAACAACAAAUUUCAAUCUAGUGGUGACUUAAGAAGUGCAUAUAUCUCAUUUGAUUUUGGAUGGGAUUUAUCCUCUACUAUAAACUUAUGAAUAUCACCUCCUUCCUCGAUGAAGCUGUACCCUGCUGCAUUUGUAAUCUGGGAGGACUUCAUCAGUUUCCUGAACCUUGCAACACCAUCCCACAGACCAGCUCUUGCAUAGAUAUUUGAGAGAAUAACAUAAUUCCCAGGAUUCCAUGGCUCCAACACAAAAAGGAAUUCGACUUGUUCAGCCAGUUCAACAUUGCCAUGGAAACUGCAGGCUCCAAGCAGAGUUCCCCAUAUACCAUUAUCAGGUCUCAUUGGCAUGCUUUGUAUAAGAUCAUAAGCUUCCUGCAAUCUCCCAGCCCGGCCUAAGAGAUCAACCAUACAGCCAUAGUGUUCUAAUUUUGGAGCUAUGGAGAAUCUUCUCUCCAUCACUUUUGAGGAGUUCCCAGCCCUUCUCUACCAUGCCUCCAUGUGUGCAUGCUAAGAUUGCUCCGACAAAUGUUACAUCAUCAGGUGCAUUUCCUUCUCCCUGUGUGAUACAAGUCAAAAAUACUAAAACUGAAACGUCACACAAAUAAUGGAAAAAACUAAAAACAAAGAAACAAGAUAGAAAAUUAAAGGGAUAGAUAGAUUGACACAAUGAGAUAAAGAGAGGACAAUCUAAGGAUAUUUCAAACCCGAAGACCUUCCUAUCGAAAUAUCACAAGCACCAACCUCUUACGAGGACCUCACGGGAAUGGACCCAAGCAACCCACGUUUCUCACAUUCAAUGUAACUCCUAACAAGUUACCACUAAACACUCUCAAGUGUAAAGGCCAUGGGUCUUUACUAUACAAUGGGCCCAAAAGUGACCCUAAAAGCUAUUGGGCCCAAAAGUGACCCAAAUCCCAAAAUAAUGUCAUGGGCAUUCAUGCUCUCUCGAAACCCACGUUAUCUUCCAAACACGUCGUGGCUCAAUGCUUCCAUGGAUGACAUCAUCAAAUGUAGCUUCUCGUGCUCCAAGCUAUCAUCCACACACGUAUUUGUUCCCCUAAAACAACCAAAUCUUGGAUCCAUAGAUGUGAUCCUUGAAGCAUCGAUCCCAAAGGAGUGGAGCCCAUUGAUCUUGUAUAACUGUGUCGACAGCACAACACUCGUGUAAAUUCCACUAUAAAAGCUCAUGCUUGCUGUUGUAAUUGGACGUUUGAUAAGCACAACAACGGUAAAGAAGAACAAAGAGAAUAUUUGCAAAGGCUUACCAGCAUUUGAUUGAAAAGCUUAAGAGCUUCAUCACUUUUUCCAUGGACAGCUAACCCCAUGAUCAUGGUAUUCCAAGAACACAAGUUCCUCCUCCUACCAAUCUCGUGAAAGAGUUGCAUUGCCCUAUCAUUCUAACACACUUUGUAUACAUUUCAAGCACAGCAUUACAAACAAACAUAUUCUUAAAGCAUCCACUUGCUCUUGCAUAAACUUCAAUCUUCUCACCAACCUCCAGUGCUCCAAGAUUUGCACAAGCUGGAAGAACACUAGCAAUCUUAACUUCAUUAGGCUUUACCCCUCUGGCUUUCUCCAUUUCCUUAUAAACAGCUAGUGCAUCCGCAUACUUCCCAUUUUAUGAACAUCCACACAUCAUCGCAGUCAAAGAAAUCACAUUCCUCAAAGGCAUUUUCGAAAACAACUUGAAAGCUUCUUCCACAUUUCCAUUCUUGGCAUACCCUGCAAUCAAAGAAUUCCAAGUAGGCACAUCCUUCAUUUCCAUCUCAUCAAAGAGCUUCCGCACAGAAGGCAACAACCCCAUUUUAGCAUACAUGUCAACAAGUGCAGUUAACGUGUAAAUUUCAAAUUCAAAAACCCAUUUGAUGAAAUGAACAUGAACAUUUGGUUUUGAAAGGGGGUAGAACGAUUGGCGCUUUUGGCGAAGACGAACGUGAAGGAGUGUGGAUUAGGAGAGCAGCCUUGACGGCGCAUCUGGAUAUAGAGAGAAAAACACUGGUUAGAAAGCCCAUGAGAAGAAUAGGCUUGAAUGAGCUUGUUGUAGAGGAAGACGGCUUGGUAAUAUUGUCGGACACCGUGGGCGUACGGGAUGUUUGGGAUUUCAACAAGUUUGGUGAUCAAGUACUGGGUAAAGUCAAUGCCAUUUCGGAGAGUGUGGGCGUGUAUUUGUUUCAGUUGGUUCAUAAGAAAUGUUUGAUUACGUCAACACACCAUGCAAAAAUCUACCUCAUAAGAGAUUUGUACGAUUCGAAAUUCGAUGAAUAAUGAAAAUAAUGUAAAGUUUGUGUUAUAAGAGAUUUAAGUGGUGUUCAUAUCGGUCAAACUUGUUGAUUCCAAACAAAUGCAAUUUAAUGAACUAUGUGGCAUUGACAAUUUGAAACCUUGGAAAUACUUAGUUUAAGUUUUCUAAAUGUGAGCUUAAAUGGAGAAACACAAAAGGAUUUUUGUAGUCGAUCACAACUUGUUUGGAUUGGAGUGUAGCUAUUGUUGUUGGAAAAUGAGAGGUUUUGUAAAAUUGACUUUGAUACAACCAAAACAAGCUGAGGUAUGUGAAUUCUCCCUGACCAUGGGCUCAAUUUAAUUUCAUCUUAUGUCCCUAAUCUGUAUUUUGAGGACUCAGUCAUAAAUUGACUAGUUUUAACUUGGAGGUUAGUAGCGAAAAUUAGUUUGUAAUGCAUAUAGCUAUUGGUAACAUUUUUUCUCAAUUUGUAAUCAUGAGUUCACGUAAGAAGGCAUAUUGUCGCGACCCGAGCCGAGGCCCUGGCCAAGACGGGCUUCUCAAACCAUCAAAGGCCCGAGAGACCCCUAUCUCUGCCCAACUGUCAUGACCCAAGCCGAGGCCCUGGCAGCGCCGGGCAUCCUAGACCAACAAAGUCCUGAGAGACCCCUGUCUCUGCCCAACCCUCUAGUGAUAUUGUGCUCUCUGGGCUCAAGCCCGCACGGCUUUAAAAUGCGUCACUAGUUAGUAAGGCUUACUAACUUAUAUACCCAGUUUGUUCCUGUUGUCAAUGAGUAUCCAAAAGUUUUUCCUGACGGUCUUCUAGGAGUUCCUCCCGAUAGAGAAAUAGAUUUUGGGAUUGAUCUUCUUACCGACACUCAGCCUAUCUCCAUUCCACCAUAUAGAAUGGCUCCUGUAGAGUUAAGAGAGAUGAAAGAGAAGUUGAAAGAUCUUCUUGAUAAAGGUUUUAUAAGGCCUAACAUUUCUCCUUGGGGUGCUCCAGUUUUGUUCGUGCGUAAAAAGGAUGGUUCACUUUGGAUGUGCAUCAAUUAUCGCCAGCUGAAUAAAGUCACUAUAAGGAAUAAGUACCCCUUCCUAGAAUAGAUAUUCGAUCAGCUAAGGGAUGCCAAGUAUUUUUCUAAAAUAGAUCUAAGAUAUGGUUACCAUCCGUUAAAAGUUACAGAAUGUGAUACUCUGAAGACAUAUUUCUGAACUUGAUAUGUCACUUUGAAUUUUUAGUUAUGUCCUUUGGUUUGACUAACGCUCCUGCAGUUUUUAUGGACUUUAUGAAUAGAGGUGUUUAAACCAUAUUUGGAUAUGUUCGUAAUUAUAAGAAUCUCCACUAAGCUGAAUUAACUGCAAAGCCGCAUCCAUUUCCAAUUCCGUAGGCAUAUAGUGAACUUUCGUCGAUUUCACCAUUGUUGUUGGAGGAAAAAAUUGAAGGAUAUGGAGUUGCAAUGCAGGGGAGUUGGUUUAUUAUAAAGGAAGCAAUUGGAAAGCUUCUCUUAGCUCUACUUGGAAAAGGAUUUAAGUAGGGGUAAUAUUGUAAAUUCACACUCAUUUUUGUUAAGUAUAACUGUAUAAGGAAGCAAUUGGAAAAUCUUCUAGUUCUACUUGGAAAAGAAGUUAAGUAGGGGAAACAUUGUAAUUAACGCUCAUUUUUUACGUUUCACAUCAACCGCCUUUAAAUUUUCAAAACUGUCUACUUCAAUAUUAAGUGCUUUAUGAACAAUUUGUUCUUAAAAAAGAUAUAUUAUACUUUAGUCUCUUUUUUCCUCACAAAUAAAUUAUGUGUGUUAUAAUAAUAAAUACUCCCCCGUCCCAUUUUACUCGUCUCAAAUUUUCUAAUUUGAUUUUUUAUUUUACUUGACAUUUUUCAUUAAUCAAGAUAAGAUAAUUUUUUUUCUUUUUGACCUUUAAUAUUAACUAUUUUAUCUCCAAAUUAAAAUGUAAUCAUCAUUUAAUAGAGAAACUAUGGUAAAUAGCCAUGUUAUAAAUUGUUUUUCUUAAUCAAUGUGCAAUGUCAAAUUGAGAUGAGUAAAAUGAGAUGGAGGGAGUAUUAAUAUAAUUAAGCUAAAUCAAUUAUGAAAGUCCAACGACACUUCAUGACUUCAACGUAAUAGGACAUUUGGAUUAUUAUUUUUAAGUGACUUAAAAGUUAAAAAUCAAAAAGUUAAUUAUGCCUUGCAAUUUACUGAUAAACUUGCAUGUUUGCCUAGACUCUGGCACUAAAAUUCGCGAUGAGCCAUCCGACAUGUUGACUCUCCAUUCCAAAACUUGUAGGCACCUCAUUUUCCUUAACCAUAUUUGCUAAAAAUAACACCUUGUUCCAAACUCGUUUCUUAUCUGUUGUACUUUAAGAUUGAGUUGGUUAAGGUUGUUUGAGGACUGCUGAAGAUUGAGACUUCAAAUUACCAUGUGUUUAUUGGAGGACUACAACUUUAUAAGUUAUUAUGAAUUGGUGGUUAAGUAUGUCAUAAUUGUGCACACAUCAGAUAUAUAUAUAUACACACACACUCAUGCUCCAAGAUUUAAUUUGUACCUUCGUAGGGGUUGUACGGGAAACUUUAUAUUUUAGUCAGGUAAGCUCAGGCAUUUUUUGUUUUAAACAAAUAGUGGGCAUUGAUUUGAUACUAAUAUUAUCUUCAUAUCUUAAUUAUGUCAUCCUUUAAUUUGUAUAUAAUCAAUCCCUAUUUUUUCCCAUCUUAUAACAUAUAUUAGAAUUUUAAGAAUAAUAAGUGGGAAAAUUAUGAAAAUUGCAGUAGAGAGUUCUCCCUCAACUUGCAUUCAAUCAAAUUAAAUCCUUUUUCCCUUUUAAUUUCUUUUAAUUCUAUCUUAAGUUUCUCUUAGUGCAAUUAAAGGUCCACCACAAGUAAGAUGGGUGUGCUUGUCUAUUUUAUGUUUUUCAUUUUCACAUCAGAAUGUACAAAAUAUUGAAUCUGAGUGAUUCAUGAUAGAUUAUUUGUAUGAAGAGCCAAAAAUCUAAAUAUACAUCUGAGAAAAGAAUUUAAGGAUGAAAUUUAACAUCUAGAAUUGCGUCUUCUGGUCAAAACAAUCACCAUGAUCGAUAUCAGGCUCAGUUGACAUACGAUCUCUUACAGUACAGAAUUGCAUCAGAAAUCGCCUUCCCGUGCCAAAUAUCAGUAGAAUGAUCAUUGGAUGGACUUUUUAUAGGGGAACAAUCCUCAUGUGGUGAGUUAAUAUUGCUCCAGUUUUUCACCUUCCUCAAACUCUUAACUCUUCUAGUACUACUACUACUUCUUUGGUUGUUAUCAUUUCCACACCAAUUGACAACAGAAUAAGAUUUCAAAAUUCAACGAGGAGAUCCCUGAAAUGAAGUAUCAGUAGUACUCUUGCAGCUUUGAAUUUCACUUACUUUUCUUUGAAGUUCAUAAACUUUUGCAGUACUUUUUCUUGAACUUGCUAUCCUUUUGGAGAUUGGCCUGACGAAUCCAAACCACUUAACCAAGAUUUUGGGCAAAAACUUCCUCCAUUUUUCAAGAAAAUCAGCUUGACUAGUUGUGGAAUUUGAAAGUUUAGAUAUUGGCGUAGGAGGAGUACUAGUUGAGGGUACUGAUGAAUUUGUGUUGAAAUUAUUGAAGGUUUCGCAAAAAGAUUCAACCUUUGAUCUAUCAAGAUAUCGAGGCAUGAUAUAUCCAUCAGAGAAGAUUUCAUCAGCACAAACAGAUUCUGAAAUAGGAUGAACAUCCAAGUUGAAGUUUUGUUCUUCUUUUAGGAAUCUUUUCAAAUAAGCGAUAAAUUUUAACUCUUCCUCAGCAUCAUCAUGAGUAUUAUAAGAGGAUCUAGGGGAUUCUGUUAGUCCAUCAAUGAAUGGUUUUCUAUUCAACAACCAACUAUAUGAAAAACUCUCUAUGGCAAGAGGUUGUUGGAAAUUUUCCAUAGUGAAUAUUAUACUACAAUACAGCCUCUCUACUUCACCUGAGGUAGUGGUAUGAUCUGCGUACACUUUAUUUUCCCCAGACCCGACUAUAUCGGAAUACACUGGGUAUGUUGUUGUUUUUGUUGAAUAGUAUACUAUAUUAUGGGAAGAAAUGAAAAGGAAAAUGAGAUGCUUAUAUAAAGAAUUUACAAGUUACCACUACAACAGAUUAAAACACACAUGUUGUAAAAAAAAAAUUUAAGUUGUCAACGUAUAUAAGUUAAAUCUGCAUAAAAAUAAAUGCUCAUCAUUAUUUGAGGAGGAGUUGUUUAUAUAGCAAAAGAUCACAAAAAUAAAAGGAAGAAAAAUAUUUGAUAAUUCAAUCAAGGAGAUUAUUCAAUGAGGUAAAUCACUUAACUCCACCAAUCAUGAUAUGGUUGCCACAAAUAAACAAAUAAGAAUCUGUCUAAAUCUUACUAUUGAAAUCUUCCAUAAACAAAAUAAGGAAAAGAAAAUUCUCCCUACUUAUUAAAGGAAGUCAAGAGGGGGUAAAAGACAUUAGUAUCAAUCAAUUGCAAUAUCAUCUAAAUUUAUCAUAAUUAAUACGUAAAUGAAUGUCUGUCACACUAAAUAAGGGAAAAGAGAAAUUAGAAAAUCAAUUAGUGAAAUUGUUCCUAACAAAUAAGGCAAAAUCGAAUUAGGCACAAAGUCAAGGUAAAUGAAUCAAAUCGAUAGACCAAAUGUUCCCAUAUUAAGUUUGCGAGAUUUGCGACACAGUAGGCGAAGUAAUAGGGGUGUAUUCUGAUGUAUCUAGAGAUAAGCUACUUUUAUGAGUUAGAAGGGAUUUUUGUAAUUAGUAUAGUGAGAUGGAAUUUUAAGUAAUAAUUGAAAGUUAAGGUGUUGUUUUAAGUAAUUUUUUCUUUAAAAAAUCUAAGUAUAAUGAAGAAUUAUCCACUUUUUAUCAAAAAUAUUUUAGAACUUUGAAUUAAAUGAUUCAAAUCUUCAAACCAAUAAUAACUUAACAUUUUAUUAUUUAGAAUUAAUCUUUACUUUUAUAAUAAUAAUCAUAUUAAUAUUAAUAAUAUUAAAACAUUUAAUGUCUUUUAAUAAUACUAGAAUUUCUAUUAAAAUUUGGAUUUAGCCCACUUAUUUAAUACCCUUGCAACUGAAUGAUCAAAAACAUUUUGCAUACUUGCAAAACAAUGAGCUACAGAAGAACAAAUUAAUCAACGCUAAAAACUAGCAAAACUAAAUGACUAUAUACACUUUUUAUAUGAGGUACACAUAAUCUUUACCCAUACAAAUAAGGGGUAUGAAGGAAGUUAAGUCUGAAAGAAAAAGAAUACCAAAAUCCAUCAAAGGAUUCGAAUAUGUGACAAAAAUUAAGAAAAGAAAAGAAAAGAAAAAGUAAAAAAAACUUAAAUGUCAAUGAAGUUAUCAACUAUUCUCUUUCAAUCAAUUACCUGCCAAAUUUUUCUUCGCGGUCGAUCUCUUCCUGCACGCAUCUAUUGCCUCCAGCUUCAUUCUUGCGAGUUCUUGAAAGCAUUGUUGAUAUUGUGACUCAAUUGUAUCAAGCUCCAACUUUAACUCGGCGUUGUCCAGAUCAUCUUUCUCUACUAAUGAUAAAAAUGAACAAUUGCUGGAUACUCUCAUGCAUUUAGAAUCUUUAUCUGUAUCCAUCAAGGUCACCUCCAGAUUCAGAUUCUUUUCAAAUUCAUUCGAUAAUAUGCAGUAUACAUAAUCGCCACCAUUUCGAUGUGGCUUACCUUCAUGAUGAAACAAGCCCAUGAACUCUAGCUCUCAUAAGUAUCCACUAGAACCUUUAGAGAUUAAAUCUGCACAUGUAAAGUAGUCGCCAAAUCCAAAUGAAUUCGAAGAAUCUUUCUGAAAUUCAAGCAUUACAGUUUGAUAAUCCAUGAACAAGGAAGAAGAAAGGACAGAGUGUAGUUGGGAAUUUUAUUCUUCAUCGUCUGUACAUUACAACAUUGCAGCUAUUUAUAUACUUGAGCUAAGAUAGUGAGCUCAUUUCCAGCUUAGUGACAGCUCAUCAUAACUGACUAACCACUUCCCUAACAGCCUCUAACAACUUGCUAUUUCUAACUGACUAACAAUCGAGAAGCUUCCAGAACCUUCCAUCCAAUGGAACAGUUAGUGUUGUGUGGUUUUGUACAGUGAAUAUCAUAUCUUGAGAUCAUACUUUGAACUUGGAUCAGUAGUUAAAACACGCCCCCUCAAGCUGCAGGGUGCAAUAUAUUUAGCACACCAAGCUUGCCUAAUAAAUGAGCAUGUUGGGCUUGGCUCAGUCCCUUGGUAAGAAGGUCAGCCACCUGGUCAUGAGUGUGAACAUGUAUAGCUUGUAUCAGUCCACUUUUGAUCUUGUCCCUGAUAAAAUGACAGUCAAUCUCUAUGUGUUUUGUUCUCUCAUGAAUCACAGUAUUGUUGGCCAAUUGAAUUGUUGAAUUGCUGUCACUAAAGACUGAUAUGGGCAAGGUAAUGGGAACUUUGAGUUCCUGGAACAAACCAACCAACCAAGUUAUCUCUGCAACUGCUGAAGCCAUGCUUCUGUACUCAGCUUCAGCAGAGUUCCUGGAAAUAGUGUGCUGUUUUUUGGACUUCCAAGAAAUUAAAGAUUUACCAAAAUGAACUUCAUAGCCUGAUUACCUAGUGUUGGGACAAGUAGCCCAAUCUAAGUCACACCAAAAAGUUAGAGUGGUAGAAUGCUCAACCUUUACCCAGAUUCCUUGACCAAUAGAGCCUUUAAGGUACCUGACUACCCUGAUAGCAACCUCCCAGUGUGAUCUCUUGGGAUAUUGCAUAAAAUGGCUAAGAGCGUGGACUGCAAACUAAUAUCUGAUCUUGUAAUAUUGUCAUACAUGAGUUUACCCACUAGUCUUCGAUAAGAAGAAGCAUCAGACAAAGAAUCAUCACUUUGUGCACCUAUGGCUUGAUCAUACUCAAGUGAUGUUAACCUUACAUUGGAUUCUAAGGGAGUGAUUGCAGGUUUUGAACUACUAAGACCAGCAUCUAAAAUUAAUUCUAGGAAAUACUUCUUUUUGUUUAAUAUCACCCCUGAAGUGGAUCUGAGGACUUCAAUACCUAAGAAGCAUUUGAGAUUUCCCAAGUCCGUCAUCUUGAAAUGGUGAUAUAACUUGGCUUUUGUUGCAUCAAUCAAUGCUGCAUUGCUUUCAGUAAGGAGUAGGUCGUCAACAUAUACAAGAACUACUACUGUGUCAUUACCUUAAUGUAGAAUGAAGAGAGAAUAGUCAUGAGCAGUCUGAGUGAAUCCAGCAUCAAGCAAAACAUGAGUCAGUUUUAGGUUUCAUUGUUUGGAAGCCUGCUUGAGGCUGUACAAGGAUUUGAGAAACUUGCAAACUUUGUGCUCUCCUUGGCAAUAUAUUUAAUCUUGUAUAUCCAUUUGGAACCAACAGUGUUCUUUUCUUUGGGCAGGUCAACAAUAGUCCAUGUGUUAUUGGCCUCCAAUACUUGGAUUUCUAACUUCAUAGCUUCCACCCAUCUUUCAUCUUUUAUAGCUUGUUUAAAUUGUUGAGGCUCAGUCAGAGUGGACAACUUUAACAAGUACCACUAAUAUGCUGGUUUUAGUUUACUAUAAGAUUGGUUGUUGGCUAAGAGGUGCUUGCAUCUCUGGGUUUUUGAAGUGUCAACAUAAUCAUGCAUCUACAUAGGUGGCCUGCUUGUUCUUGUUGGUCUAUUGGAAGAGGGUUGAGGUAGGGAAAGGUCAUCUUGAUAUGUUUCUUCAUGAGUGGUGUCAGGUGAAACAGCACCAGGUACUGCAAAAUCAGAAGAAGCUUAAGUCAGAGAAGGCUCAUCUUGGCAAUCAGCUUCAGUAUUUGCAUCAGAGAAAGGUAUAUUAGGUGGUGCAGUAUCAGCAAAAUCAGCAUCAUCAACGUGAAUAUCCUCUAAAGGAACAUCAGUACCAACUUCAUUAUCUGUGCAGAAAACAACAUUCCCUUAUGUUUAAGAGCCUCUUACCUGGUAUGUACUGUCAUGUCCCUAACCGGGGAAAGAAUUUAGAAUUGUGUUAUGGAUUUAUCUCAAAUAGCUAGUAAAUUCAUUCUCUUAGCCCAGGCCUUUUUAUUUAAGGGCAUCUCGCCUUAAGGAGGUGGGUUAUCUUAAGUUCUAAAAGAAAGAGGGAAUGAGUUCAGCUGCAAGUAAAGUUCACGCCUUCUGGUAAAGGUAGGUCGGGGAAUGCCAUCAAGCAACCAAUUCUUUCUUUUCUUCAGCCAUUAAGGAAAAAAGCAGAAAGUAUUUCACUUAAGACAGCCAAAAAGUAUAGAUUGUAAGAAAGAAGCCCAUGGGGGUGAUAUCGAUAUAAUCCAUAAGUCUUUCUCUAUGACAGUCAUUUUUUACUAUUAACUGACGCUAUUUUUUUCUCUAUCCAAAUCCUUUGGUUAAGGAGGCUUCCCCCUCUACUCUGCUCUUUAUAACAGUGAAAGAGCACCCAGAGUCUUGUGUUUUCUUUUAAAAAACUCAUAGAAUAAGGAAUUUAGGUUUACUGUCAAUCCCUUUCUUUUUUCUUCACACUAUAGCUGCGCAUUCUUUGUUAUUACUAUGGGGUCCCGAAGCACAAGGGGAUUUUCCUCGUUGGUUCCAAUUAGGUGGUUUGUUGACUUUUGUUGCUCUCCAUGGAGCUUUUGGACUAAUCGAUUUUAUGUUACAUCAAUUUGAACUUGCUCGAUCCGUACAAUUGCGGCCUUAUAAUGCAAUUGCAUUCUUUGGUCCAAUUGUUGUUUUUUUUUCUAUAUUCCUGAUUUAUUCACUAGGUCAGUCUGGUUGGUUUUUUGCGCCUAGUUUUGGUUUAGCAUCUAUUUUUCGAUUUAUUCUUUUUUCCCAAGGGUUUCAUAACUGGACAUUGAACCCCUUUCAUAUGAUGGGAGUUGCCGGUGUAUUGGGUGCUGCUCUGCUAUAUGCUAUUCAUGGUGCUACUGUAGAAAAUACUUUAUUUGAAAAUGGUGAUGGUGCAAAUACAUUCCGUGCUUUUAACCCAACUCUAGCUGAAGAAACUUAUUCAAUGGUUACCGCUGACUGCUUUUGGUCUCAAAUCUUUGGGUUGAUCUUUCCAAUAAACGUUGGUUACAUUUCUUUAUCUUAUUUGUAUUAGUAACUGGUUUAUGGAUGAGUGCUCUUGGAGAAGUCAGUCUGGCUCUGAAUCUACGUGUCUAUGAGUUCGAUUCUUAGGAAAUCCGUACAUCGGCAGAUCCUGAAUUUAAGACUUUCUAUACUAAAAAUAUUCUCUUAAACGAAGGUAUUCGUGCUUGGAUGGUGGCUCAAGAUCAUCCUCAUGAAAACCUUAUAUUUCCAAAGGAUUAUUACCAUGUGGAAACGCUCUUUAAUGGAACUUUCUCUUUAGCCAGGGUCGUGAUCAAGAUGCCGAUUUUGCUUGGUAGGCGGGGAAUGCCCGACAACUCAAUUUAUCCGAGAAACUAUAGGGAGCUCAUGCUGGAUUAAUCAUAUUCUAGGCCGGAGCAAUGAACCUAUUUGAAGUAGCUCAUUUGGUACCGAAGAAGCCAAUGUAUGAACAAGGAUUCAUUUUACUUCACCAUCUAGCUACUCUAGGUUGGGGGGUAGGUCCUGGUGGGGAAGUUAGAGACAUUUUUCCAUAUUUUGUAUCUAGCAUACUUCACUUAAUUUCAUCUGCAGUAUUGGGCUUUGGUGGUAUUUAUCAUGUACUUUUGGGUCCUGAGACUCUUGAAGAAUCUUUUCCAUUUUUUGGAUAUUUACUAAAAUCCCCCUUUGGAGGGGAAGGAUGGAUUGUUAGUGUGGACGAUUUAGAAAAUAUAAUUGGACGGCACAUAUGGUUAGGUUCCAUUUGUAUACUUGGGGAAAUCUGACAUAUCUUAACCAAACCCUUUGCGCGGGCUCGCCGUGCGGUGCGCUUGUAUGGUCUAGAGAGGCUUACUUGUCUUAUAGUUUAUUUGAGUGCUUUAUCUGUUUUUGGUUUCAUUGCUUGUUGCUUUGUCUGGUUCAAUAAUACUGCGUAUCCUACUGAAUUUUAUGGGCCUACUGGACCAGAAGCUUCUCAAGCUCAAGCAUUUACUUUUCUAGUUAGAGACCAAUGGCUUGAGGCUCUUCUUCUCUCUUUUGUUAAUGAGUAUAGUACAUAUCGAUUGAUUACAUCGUUAAUUACAAGAAGUUGCUUGUUCAAGAAACCAAUCGAAUCGUCAUCAGGACGAUGUGAAUGAGCCUUAUUUGCAAAUGAUAUCAAUUUUCAAUCAAUCUGGUUGUAAGGCUAUAAAGGCCAUAAGUCGUCGGCUCACUCCAACAGAGCGCAAAUCAGCAACUUUGUAUGUCUUGCUGAAUUGCCCAGAAAUUGAACCCUUUCUAAAGUAAGGAGAUUGGAAUUUUAACAUAUCUUAUUUGUUUACUCAUUCCUUUAAAGAAACUAAUUGUGUUUCGCAUUUUGGAUCUUCAGUUCAUUUAAGACUCAAUUCUACGAAGAUCAAGUGUAUGCAUCCUUUACAACAUGAUUUAAAAAUGAGGUUCAUAAGUGUAUUAAUAUUUAUAUAAAGUUUUAACAUUUACACAUUUCUCAACUAAUAUAUAUAUAUAUAUAUAUAUAUAUCUAUAUCUAUAUGUAUGCAUGUAUGUAUGUAUGUAUGUGUGUAUAAUAUUUUUAGGUACACCAUUUCCCAAAUACAUCCGCAUACGAUCAGCUCUUAAGAGAUAUUUUUUUUGGGUCCAGUUGAAGCUCAUGCAAUGUCCCAAUACAAAGUAAAUGAGUUUAAAUUUUCCAGCGAACAAAACUCCAGAACAAGGAAAACAAACAAUAUGGUGUUUGGGUUAAGGGUGAUGAUGAUGUUGAUUACUUUGGCAUCAUACACGAGAUCUUAGAAUUAGAGUAUGCUUGUUUCCCAAUAAAAAAAAUUGUCCUCUUUCGAUGCAUGUGGUUUGAUCUAAGCGCAAGAGGCCCAAGAGUACAUAAGGAGUAUAACAGCAUUGAAGUGAAGCAUAAUAGGCCGUAUCCUAUUUACGAUCCAUUUGUUCUAGCGAAAAUGCUAAACAAGUGUAUUAUGCUCCUUAUCCGUUGCGCAAUGACAAGUCUAAUUGGUGGGCUACAAUCAAAACAAAGACUAUUAGAUGGGUGGAAGUUGAGAAUGUGCCGGAGACUGUGUAUCAGAAUGAAAUACAGAUUGAUCACCAGUUUUUGGACGUUGACUCAGUGGAUAGUUUGAAUCACCCGAAAAAUAUAUUUGAAGAAGUUAAUAUUAUGGAAGAAGAGGCUUAGUGGGUAGGAGAUGAGGAAAACUCCAAAGAGGGUGAAUAGUUUAGUGGAGAGUCUUCAAAAGAGGAGGAUUAGUUGUGUAGGUUGUAUUAAUUACGUAUUGAUGUAUUUAUGCUUUGUAUUAUAUAUUUACCUUUAUGUUUCUUUUUUAAGAAUGAUGUGUAAUAUACUGUUUAAUCUAAGAUUGUUGUUUUCACUUUCACUUUUUUCACUAAAGUGAAAUAAUUUUUUGGGAAAAAGGAAAAAGUUUAUAUGGACAAACGGCUACUAAAUCAAUUAAAUUUGAAUUUAGAAAGAUGUGAAAAAAAUCUACAAAUAAAUAUGAAAGAGUUAGAAUAGGAAAAAUAUAAGCAAAGAGUUAGAAUAAGAAAAAUAUAAGCAGUAUCAAAUUUUUUAAAGUUUUAAGUAAGUAAUGAAAGAUUUUCUAAAAAUUUAACUUUAAAAAUAAGGAAAUAUUUUAAAUAUAUAUAUAAAAAAAUAAUCGUAUUACAAAUAGGGUUCAAGUCGAUGCAUUUUUCUUAGCCUCUAGCAACGAGUAAAAAGGUUACUACAUGACAAAUGCAAAAGUGAUAUUCAAUGAAACUUCUGGUGGUGUAUAUAUAUAUACACACACACACACCAACAACAACAAACCCAGUGUAAUCCCACCAAGUGGGGUCUGGGAAGGGUAAAAUAUAUGCAGUCCAUACCGCUACCUUCGAAGAAGUAGAGAGGUUGUUUCCGACAUAUAUAUAUAUAUGUGUGUGUGUGUACAUAUAUAUUCUUAUUAUAAGAUAUAUGUUAUAUUCACAUUAUUAUAUUAAAGUCCUUUUCAUUAAAAACCAAAUAAUUAUUAGCUGUUUAGCCUCAAAUUUGAAUGCCGAUCACGUCGAAGAUUAUUCCACAUGCGAUCGGCAUUAUCAUUUUACGAGGCAUUUAUCGACAUGAAAACUUGUGGUCAUCAUCUUUGUCUAGGCAGCAGAAAUAUUUUUUGAAUAUCCUGUUUUCCUCCAAUUUCUGCUAUCUUUGGCUUGUCUUAAUUUGUUCUUCUUGUUUUUACUUUUCCUUAUUCUUCUUUCUUUGUUAUUGUUUGGUGGAUUAUCGUAAUGAGUUAGUUUCGGGGCUGGAUCCAGAUCUUCUUAUCAUUCUGGAAAUGGAGUUAGAGUUGGAAGCGGUGGAUUUUUUGGUCCAUGUGCUAAUAAUCGGCCAUUUAACCAAGAUCAUUAUUUAGAGAAAGACCCUACGGGUCGAUAUGUUCGGGUAAUUAACUUUACUCUCUAUUAUUUUUGGUGUUACUUCUUCUUUAUGCCUUAAAAUUUUGGACAUUGCUUUAUUUCUACAGUGUUAUUGGAAUGCAACCGUUCCAAAAUUAAGGAUUUAUAUUGUCAUCGGAAUAUAGCCCAAUUGUUUACGUUAGUUUAUGCUUAAAUGUUUGUUUUCUUGUUCUUUUUUUAUAAAUUAUGUCUAGUUGCAAAAUCAAACUGAUUUCCCGUUUUAGCUUAUAUAACACAUUAUACUCAACAUAGAUGCUUUGAGGUGGUCUUAGCGCAAAGGUGAACAAAAGUAUAUUACACCGCUCAUAAGUCAUUUCUUCUUUAAGUUGAUUUGAAUUUUUGGUCCUUCUGCAUAAUUGUUAAGCCAUAAACAUAAUUAUGUUGGGUUCAAUUGGUGUGAAUGGAAAAUAGAGGGACACAACCUUUGAGGAAAAGACAUAUUGUUUUGGAAAAGGAGUGACUGUUCGAAUAGUUGUGUUUGUUCAGAAAAAGACACAAUGUUUCAAAUGAACAGACAUGACUCUUCCAAAAGAUACACCUUUUCGGAUGAACCACUGCCACCUUUCAUAAGGGACACUUGAUGGCUAUAUAAAUCUGCAUUUAUCCAUAGGUUUAGGUACGAAAAUUUUUCUGCAAUAAAACUCUUCUUGUAUCCUGAAAAUAUACUUCGUGUGAUCAUCAAAUCGUAGAGUGAGUUUAAAGAGAUUCCAAUUGUUUGAGGUACCGCUAAAGUUGGUUUGUUUGGCCAUUUUCUCCUGGGAGGAAAAUUCCGCAACCUCGAGUACUUGAGGAGAAUUAUUUCUUUAAGGACACUCCGUGAAUUCGGAGGACUUGACCAUUUCUGUUUCAUCUAAUUAAAUUUCUCGAAAAAAAAAACACACACUUCUUUGAAAGAUCUUUUUGUGUUAUUUAUUUCAAUGUAUUCGGGUAUAAGAAUCUGUAAUUUGAUACAAUAACUUCAACACUAGUUCAAGUUUAAAAUAAGAAUACUAUAAAGUACAAAAACACCCUCAACACAAGAUCAAAGUCAUCUUUCUAAGAAGUGUAUUUUAUUUUCCAGAAAUUAAGAUGAAACAAAAAUGUAAAGCCAAGUCCCCCGACUUCACGGAGUGUCUUUAAGGAAUAAUUCCCCUCACUGUACCCGAGUUUUGGAAUCUUCCUCCCAUGAUAAAAUGACUUUCAAUACAACUAUAGUGAUACCUCAAAUAAUUAUAUUCAACGAACUCACUUAACAAUUUGAUUGAUCACACAGAAUGUCUUUGAAGACAAGAAGAGAGUUUGUAUUUCAGAAAACUCGUGUCUAAACCUGUGGAUGAAAGCAACAGGUUUAUAUAUCCUAUCAGAUGUCUCUUCAAAAAGGUGGCAAUGGUUCACUUAAAAAGGUGUGAUCUUUCUGGAAAUUCAUGUCUGUUCAUCCAAAGAAUAUGUCUUUUUCGAACAGGCAUACCAUUUCACUCAAAACAGUGUGUCAUUUCAUUGACGGGUUGCAUCCCUUCCGAAGCAUCACUUCGUUUCUGCAUUGCAUUUCGAAACAAUAUCAACCAUUGCAUGCAUGCAUAUCAAUGGAGGAUAAAAAACACAGAAAAGUUGCGUUUUUCCCUUUGGUAUUUCCGGAUUAAAUUUCUGUCAAAUAAACUUUGUCCAAAAAGAUAGAUCUCAUCGAUCAUUUUCCAAAGCCAAAGCCGAGCGAGCGACUAUGGCGGUGCGAGACAUCUCUUAUAUUUCCAAAGUGUUAUUUCACUGACAAUUAUUUAUAUUUAUCAACUGCUCGUGUUUCCUCUACAGUUUGGGCAAGGGUGCAUUCAAGACUGUGUAUGUUCCUAAACUUAAUUGCUGGUUUUUUAUUGUUCCUUUCUAUAGCACUAAUUGUGUAUUCAGAGCAUAAAGCAUUUUGUCUUUUUUUUAAAAAAAAAAUGUGUUUCAGCUACAAGGCAUUUGACUUACAUGAUGGUAUUGAAGGCGCAUGGAGCCGAGUGAAAGUGGAGGACGUUUUGCAGUCACCUGACAAGUUGAGAAAGUUAUAUGCAGAAAUGUAUCUUCUUAGAAAAUUGAAGCAUGGCAAUAUAAUGAAGUUCUGUGAUUCAUGGGUUGAUGACAAGAAGAGAACAGUUAACAUGAUCACUGAACUCUUCACAUUUGGGAACUUGAGGCAGUGAGUUUCUCAUAGUUCCUCAUUUUCUUUGUUUACAAAUUGUGUUGUCAUACAAUAAAUAUUUAAAUUGUACUUAUCAGAUACCGCAAGAAGUAUAGAAGUGUUGAUACAAAGGCAAUAAAGAAUUGGGUAAGCAGGUACUUCAAGGGUUAGGUUAUCUUCACAGUUACAACCCUCCUAUCAUUCAUAGGGACUUGAAGUGUGACAACAUAUUUGUCAAUGGAAAUACUGGAGAAAUUAAGAUUGGGGACUUUGGAUUGGCUACCAUUAUGGAGCAGCCUACUUUUAAGAGUAUUGUUACAGAUACUUCUUGUAUCGACAUAUAUUGAAAUAAUGCCCCCUCUUCUAAAACACCAACUUUAUCUAUUCCUCUGAAGGGACCCCGGAAUUUAUGGCCCUAGAGUUUUACAAAGAAGAAUACAAUGAACUGGUUGACAUAUAUUCCUUCAGCAUGUGUAUGUUGGAACUAGUAACCUUUGAAGAUCCUUACAGUGAAUGCAAAAAUCCUACUCAAAUUUUUAAGAAAGUUAGCUCGGUAAGUUUGAUAAAUUUUUAAGUUGUGUAGGCAUUACAUGUUUUAGUAAAUCGAAGCAACUUUAUUUAUUCUCAGGGUGUUAAACCUGCUUCUCUCGGCAAAGUUACUGAUCCCAAAUCAAAGCAUUCAUCGAGAAAUGCCUGUUCCUGCUUCGCUGAGGUUGCCUGCCAAGGACCUUCUCAAAGAUCCAUUUCUUCAGACUGAGAACUUAAAUGAGCCAACCCAUAGUCUGUUUCUAGCUUUCACCUUACCAAAGUCCAAGAUCAUUAAGUUCAUGGAAAUCUGCACCUCAUUCAAUGGAUUUAGAUCCCGAGUAUAAUCAAUCAGUUUAUACAGACUCCCAUUGUGGUAGUCCUUGUGCUCCGACAUUGGAAUUUCAGAGGUUUCAUCAGAAUAAUGAAUUUAAAUUGACAUGUAAGAAAAAAGAUGAGAACUCAGUUUCAUUGACCUUGCGAAUUAAAAGCCCUUCAGGUAUGUAGAUGCGUUCUAAUUCAUUAUUAUUUUUAUUCUUUUGGCAUUUUGGAAUAAAAUUGUCUCUUUGUUUAUUUAAAGCCUUCAAAUUUUUCAGGCAGAGUAAGGAAUAUACACUUCAAUUUUUAUGUUUAUACUGACACUGCACUCUUAGUUGCGGCUGAGAUGGUUGAACACUUGGAACUAGCUGAUCAUGAUGUAGAUUUUAUUGCUGACUUCAUUGAUUAUCUAAUAAUGAAAAUUUUACCUAGUUGGAAGCCUUCUGAUUAUUUUUCUAGUGGAGGGAGAAGUCAAAGAGAAGAAGCUAUAGAGAAUUACCUAACCUUGUCGCCCAUCACUACCACAUCUAAUGCUCGAAAAAGAUGAUAUUACAGUUCUCAAUAUGAAUAACCAAAUUGGUAGUACUCAUCGAUCUGAUGAAGAUAAAUUGUGUACAAAUUCAAGUAGCACUUCUUGUCACGUUACUUUUGUUUCCCCAUCACAUUUGGCAAAUAUGUGAUAGAUGGAGAGUGUCAAGGUUCAGCUGCUACUGAAGUUUUGGAAAAAUAUUGUUUUAACUACUGAUCCAAGCUCAAAGUAUGAUCUCAAGAUAUGAUACACACUAUACAGAACCACACUACACUAACUGUUCCAUUGGAUGGAAGGUUUUGGAAGCUUCUCGAUUGUUAGUCAGUUAGUAAUAACAAGUUGUUAAGAGGUUGUUAGGCAAGUGGUUAGUCAGUUAUGAUGAGCUUUCACUAAGCUCGAAAUGAGCUUACUAUCUUAGCUCAAGUAUAUAAAUAGCUGCAAUGCUGUAAUGUACAGAUGAUGAAGAAUAAAAUUCCCAACUACACUCUCUCCUUUCUUCUUCCUUGUUCAUGGAUUAUCAAGCUGUAAUGCUUGAAUUUCACAUGGUAUCAGAGAAACGAGCUCAAUACUGAGAGUAUUUCGAUCCUUUUUUCUCAUAUUCUCAGAGAAUUCUUAAGACCUCUGUAUGUACUUUGUUUUUUUGUUCUUUUAUCUCUGCAAGUUUGGUCGAUUUUGCAGUUCAAUUUCUUCAUUCAUGGAACCUAAAAUUGAUCAAAGUGAUCCACUCUUCAUUGGUGCUUUGGAUAGUUCAAGCACUGUACUCGUUCCAAUCAAAUUAACUAGUUUAGAAAACUAUAGUCUUUGAAGUCGAUCUAUGUGAAUUGCUCUCUUAGGGAAGAGAAAGUAUGGCUUUUUCACUGGAUCUUGCAACAUGGAUUCAUACAGAGAGGAACUCCAUGAACAGUGGGAAAGAUGCAAUGCUAUUGUCCUCUCAUGGAUCAUGAACACUAUGAGUGAAAGCUUACUAUCUGGGAUCGUGUAUGCUACAAAUGCUUGUGUUGUCUGGGAUGAUUUGAAAGAAAGAUAUGACAAAGUGAAUCAUAUUCGCAUAUAUCAAUUGCAUCGUGAAAUCAGUAUGCAUUGUCAAGGUACUAAUUCAAUCUCAGCUUAUUUUACUAAGUUGAAAACCUUGUGGAGUGAGUAUGAUGUUCUGGUUCCUAAUCCUAGCUGUGAUUGCCCUAAGUCCAAAGAGUACUCAGAUCAUAUGUGUCAACUGAGACUUCUACAAUUUUUGAGUGGCUUUAAUAAGUCCUACGAUCAAUCUAGGAGACAAAUCUUACUCAAGGGAGUAACUCCUACUCUCAAUCAAGAUUAUGCCAUGCUUAUAGAGGAUGAGAUACAACACUCAACAUGUAUGCCUGUUGUGCACGAUAGAUCAGAACCUCUUGCUAUGCAGGUGAAUCAUAAUUAUGAUUAUGGACAAGGGAACACAAAUUACAAGAGUAGAAAGUAUGACUACUGUCACCUCUCAGGUCAUACAAAAUAAAAUAGCUACAAAUUGAUAGGGUAUCCAAAUGAUUGGAAGAACAAGAAGUAACAAGGUUAUACUCCUCCAAAUUUCAGGUCACAUAAUGUUGGUGGUAACAAUUUCUCACCACAUAAUAGGGGUAACAACUAUACUAGCACUGGUAGCAAGUCUUCCCAAACUGCAAGCAUGGUAGUAGGACCAGGUGAUGCUACCAGCUCCAGUCAUAAUGUGAAUUGUGCAUCAUUGGCAAAACCUCAUACAUUCACAGAUGAAUAGUACACUCAAAUCAUGAACAUAUUGAACAAGGAUACUAAGGAUAUGAAACAAGUCAAUAUGACAGGUAUUACCACUUUUUUUUAUUCGAGGCUUGUUCUGACAGUUGGAUUGUAGAUUCAGGAGCUACACAUUAUGUGUCUGCCUAUAGACACUUAUUCAAAGAUAGCUCCAGCCUGGUUCCAAGACACUUUGACAAAUUGCACCUUCCAAUAAGUGAUGAAGUCACAAUUUCCCACACUGGAGAAGCCUAUAUGUUUACAGAUGAUGUGAUCAAAGAUGUCCUCUUUGUUCCAGAUUUUAGACUAAAUUUGUUGUUUGUUGCUAAGAUAACCAAGGAACUGUCGUGCUUUGUGUCCUUUUAUCCUGAUUCUGUGUAUUUCAGGACCUCUUCAAUGGAAAGGUGAAGGGGAUUGGUAGAUAAGAGGGUGGAUUGUAUGUUCUUAAAGGAGAAUGGAAAGAUAAUUGUUAUACCCAUUUUAACACGGGUCAAAAUAGUGUACAACAUAUUGGAAAACUUCGGAGUUAAAUUUAAGGAAGUCGCCACCUAAUUAGUUCUACAGUGAAUUAGGACACCUAUUACAAACUACGUGAUUAAAAUAAAUAAUGACUUCAUUUUAAGGUCUACAAAACCUAAAUUCUAGGUAAGGAUUCUAUUUAUCCUAAAGGUAAGGGAUUAGGCACCCUAAAGGAUCCACUAACUACGGUUAACCGGCCAAACUUAGAUUAGAUAAGAAAAUCAAAUAUUAAAUUAAGAAAAUAUAUAUAAGGCAUUAAAAAUUAUUAUUUUUUUUGUCUUUUAUAAGAUAAUAUAUGCUAAUUAUAAAUAUUAGAAAAUAUUUUAGAACAUCCUCGCAAUAAAUAAAAAUAAAAUAAAAUAAAGCUUUUAACUAAAAAUAAAUAAAAAUUUAUUCUAAAGGAUGCCCCUUCUGUUUUUUUUUAUUUAUCAAAUUUUAUAAAAUAAUAAGUCACUUACCUUACUCUACAUGAAUAGAUAAAUUAUAUAGUUGUUUAAACGUAUAAUGACUUGAGAAUUUAUUAUUUAUUAUGAUAAAAUAUUUUUUUUGUUAUUAGGAAUACCUAAAAGGGACUUGCGAAAUGUCAUUUUUUAUUAAAAAUAAACUUUGAUUUGCGGUAUCUAAAAUUAGUAAAACUGGUUUUCCAAAUUAGCAAUAAUACGCCUAUCUACCACAAAUUUAUAUUUAAAGGAUUUUCAAAUUAUUACCUAAUAAGAAACUAACAUUAUUCUAAAGAUAAGCUACUAUUUCGUAUUAAAGAAGUAUUAAAAGGAUUCUAACAAACUUGGUCAUUAUUCUAAAGAUAUCUUUAAACCUAGAAAUUUUAAAACUUUUAAUGAUGUAAAUUAAAUGUCGAAGUUUAGUUAUCAUGCAAUGUCUAAAAUCUAAUGGGCGAAGAGGGAACGAUAAAAAUUCGCUACACGAAAUCACAUAAGAACAUAUAAGAACACAACUUUUAAAUAAUAGUGCACGAAAUAUUAAAUAAAGAAAAGAAAUAAUAAUAACAGGUUUCUACAGAAGAAGAGUAAAGCUUGAAAAGAGGGAAGGAGGCACUAGACUGCUAGAAGGAGAUACNNNNNNNNNNNNNNNNNNNNNNNNNNNNNNNNNNNNNNNNNNNNNNNNNNNNNNNNNNNNNNNNNNNNNNNNNNNNNNNNNNNNNNNNNNNNNNNNNNNNNNNNNNNNNNAGCAAUAAUACGCCUAUCUACCACAAAUUUAUAUUUAAAGGAUUUUCAAAUUAUUACCUAAUAAGAAACUAACAUUAUUCUAAAGAUAAGCUACUAUUUCGUAUUAAAGAAGUAUUAAAAGGAUUCUAACAAACUUGGUCAUUAUUCUAAAGAUAUCUUUAAACCUAGAAAUUUUAAAACUUUUAAUGAUGUAAAUUAAAUGUCGAAGUUUAGUUAUCAUGCAAUGUCUAAAAUCUAAUGGGCGAAGAGGGAACGAUAAAAAUUCGCUACACGAAAUCACAUAAGAACAUAUAAGAACACAACUUUUAAAUAAUAGUGCACGAAAUAUUAAAUAAAGAAAAGAAAUAAUAAUAACAGGUUUCUACAGAAGAAGAGUAAAGCUUGAAAAGAGGGAAGGAGACACUAGACUGUUAGAAGGAGAUACAUAAUGCAAUUUGCUCGCUUCUCUGAUUUGAACAGAGAUGGAGUCAUGCCAUGAAACUCCAAACGCACUCCCGAGUGUAUAUGAAAAAAUAAGAAAAAUAAAGAUUAGGAGCCAAACUAAUUGUAAGGAAAAUGAACGGAAAGAAAUACUUGCCACAUGAAUGUUCGAAUAUUAAAUUUGAAUGAAACCGCGAAAAUAAAUCAGCAUAUACCUAUUAGGAACAAACAUUUGAGAAUAAAUACUUUGGGAUGUAAACAGCUUUUGUCUCACAUAACAGGCAACUCAAUCCAAAUGAACAUGAAAAAAAAGUAAAUUAACAAGACUUCUAAUAAUUCAUCGGGGGAAAACAUACACUUAAUCCUUGUCAAGGAACACGUGAACCAGCCUCAUAAAAAAAACCUUAUAUCAUAAUAUUCAAACCUGUUAUCCGUCAAACUCCACAACAACAACAACAACAACAAAAAAUCCAUUGUAUUCCCACAGUGAUAAACAUAAUGAGUUUUGGACAAAAUCAAAUAAAAUACCCUUUCCUUUAAAAACCUUUCAUAGCAUAACUUUUAAUAGAACAUUUUUCCUUAUAUCUCCUAACAUUUUAUAACAAUAUAAUAAUACUUUAAUUAAGUGUAAUCCUUUCUCAUUAAAUAUUUCAAAUAAAGAAGAACAAUAGUUUACGGCAAAGCUAUUCAACAUUUGUUAUCUUAUGAAAAGAAAGAAAGAAAGAAGUUAGACUUUUAAAAAAACUUUUCUUUAAAAAAAAAUCAAUAAAGCUUUAAAAUUAAUUGAUAAAGAAAUGACAUCCCUUUUAAUGCAAAAAGAUAAAGUAAAGCAAUUAUUUGGUUUUUUUUCUUUCAACACCCCUUUUAAUAAUAAUAAUAAAAAAAAAGAUGCAACUAUUUGACCUUUCCUUUCAUGCACCUCUCGUGCCAUAAACAGAAUUAGCCGGUAACGCACGUAUCAAUUUUUGAAAAAAAUAAUAUGAGUAUAAUUAAUAUUUUCUCCAUUUUUUAUUUUUAGUUGACCCUCUUUUUAUUUAGAAAAAUAAUUUGUUUCAUAUUACUUGUCCCAAUUGUAAAAUCAAGAUUAUUUUAUACAUAUUUUUUCAUUCUACUCAUAUCAUUACAUGACUAAACAAAUAUACAUACUCAAAGUUAUGUUUUUUUUUUUAGCAUAAUUAAUAAGGCUAAUUUGAUAAAAGUGAAUUCUAUUAAUUAUUCCUUAAUGGGAGUACUAAGUUCAUAGGGCCAACUAAAAUAAAACGAAGAGAGUAUUUAAUAUUGAUGAUAGCAUUGAAGAUAUAUUUAAAACCUCCGCAAUACCAAAAUAAAAUCCCACGAUGACAACAACAUACCAAGUAAGGCCUAAAAUUAAUUAAUUCAUAAAAAAAGAUCAAAAUGAGGCAAUCUUACUAAAAUAAGAACAACAGCAACAAGGACACCAAAUAAACUCUAAAUACGAAACUAGAACAUAGAUAUUGGAUGAGUUAACCAAAAAAAAAAAUAUUUAAAUAACAUUAAUUCUUAUCAAUCAUUUUCACGCAUAGCCUUAAAAUAAAUAGAAUAAGCAAAUGGAUCCAGAUAGGCAGAGUUGAGAUAAAUGACAAGAAGCUAUAAACAAUCGUAUUUUAUUUCUAAAAAACAAAACUGAAACAAAAAAUAUGAAGAUGAAGGCGAUUACUGACCUUGUGUGGAGAAAUGAACUAGGGCUUCAACUCAAAGACUCGAACUUCAAUUAAACAAGGAAAAAAUAGCAGGCACCUGGCGAAUUGAUCUCUCUUCACCCUUUUAUUGUGAAGAAGACUCCUCUUUUAGAGAAAAAAGGGCUGUAACGACUUCUUCAAGUAUCACAAAAUUCAAAAUUCAAAUCAAACGAAAAAAAGAGGAAGAAGGAAAAUGAGCAUCAAAGUUUUCCUUUUCAAAGAUUAUGGGCUCUGCAAAAGUCAAAAUUUUCGGUGGACUUUCCGUGAUUGAAGUGUGUUUGGUUGAAUUUCACGUGAAGAGAGGAUUUUUAGGAUUGUGUUGGUCAUAUUGCUGAUGUUGCUGUUGUUUGAUUAUUAACAGCCUGUUUGGAUGGUGGUUUCCCAUGGUAUGGUAUGGUAUGGUAUGGUUACCAUAGGAACAAUGUUUUUUUCCAUGGUUUUCUAAAAAUGGUGGUAUGGUAUGUUACUAUUCCAUGGUUUGAUAACCAUGGAAUGAAGCAAUUUAUUGAACCACCAAAUUGGUGGUGUACCAUGGUUUUCAUUUUUCUUUUUCAACUAUACCCUUAUAUAAUUUUCUUUAAUCCUAUUUUAUCCUUAACAAUAAAAUACAUGCUAAGACUAUGCAUUUGUUAACAAGAUCGAAGAUUGCAAGACUUCCUGUUAGCAAUAUAAAAAUUCAAAGAGUGAGAAAAAUGAUCACAGUUAUUUAGUAGUAGUAGUUUUUAAUGCCAAUAAAAACUCAAUUCGAUGAAAAAAAAAUUGAAAAUUGAAAUGGAGGGAAAAGAGUGAAUGCACAAAAAGCAUAUACAUGGGAAGUGAUUUUUGAACUCUAAAAUACAUACAUGUAUACCAAUUGUUUUAUUGAUUGGGAAGUACUUCCUGAUUGCAUUAGUUUGCGUUCCUCAAACCUUUGUUUAACAAAUACCCUUGUGAAUUUGGUGUCUUAAAAGGAUCAUCGGGUAGCUAUGAGAAGCAUCAAGAAAGAAAGGACAACUGGUUACGCUAGCACUGAUAUGGAUAAAAGAUUUGAUAUCUCAAAUGUAUUACAAUUAGAGGCAUUUUAGUAAAUUUACCUGUUACCAUACCAUCAAACCAAAAAAAAAAUCUAUUAUUAAACCGUAGUGAACGAUACAGUCCAUCCAAACAUGGUACUGUACCAUACCAUACUAUACCAUACCAUACUACACCAUACCAUACAUUAUGAAACCAUGGCAAACCACCAUCCAAACAGGCUGUAAAGGGGAGAGUUGCAAGGUGAGCUAGGCCAGGGGGUUUGGUUUGGGCUAGUAAAAUGAGUUUUGGGGCUGGUCUUGCUACAUUUUAAAAGGCUAAAUUUAAUUAAAGAAUUUGGCCCAAUCAGAACAAUGAAUUUAUCUAAUUCUCGACGAUCCAUUUCAACUUGACUAAUUCAUCGAUGCUUAUUAAUUUUCUCAAUAUAUAUAUAUAAUUAAAUAAAAAAUAGUGUAAAUAUGAAAUGAUUAUUUAAAAUAUAUUUAUUUAUUUAUUUUUGAUUAAAAAUUUGUGAGAUGCGAUAUUAGUAAAAAAAUAUCAUUUUCAAACUGUUAACGUUGAAACAUAUUUUGAAGAAGAAAAAAGAAAAAAAAAAUCAAAAAUUCUAAGCAUCGAGAAAUUAAAAUUGGGUAUCAACAAUAAUACUGAUCAUGUAGGAUCAAAACACAAUAGAUUCAUUACAGAAGCUAUUGUUCCCAAUUGCAGACUGUGGAACCAAAGACUUGGGAACCCAGCUCCUCAGGUUUUAAGAUACUUAGACAUUUUGAUGAAUCAUAGUGAUGUAAAUAUGUUGAAUAAAUGCACUGUAUGUCCACUAGCUAAACAGACAAGAAUCUCAUUUCCCAUAAGUACUACUAAAUGUUCUGCAUAUUUUAAACUUGUACACAUGGAUUUAUGGGGUCCUUAUAGAACAUCUAUAGUUGAUAAUAAGUGUUAUUUCUUGACUAUGGUGGAUGACUAUAGUAGAUAUUCUUGGGUUCAUCUGUUGCAGCAAAAAUCUGAGACCAUAGUAGCUAUUAAGACAUUCAUAUCCAUGAUUAGAACGUAGUUUGGAGUGGUGAUAAAGGCUAUUAGAUCUGAUAAUGGGACUGAGUUAAUACUCAAUGUCACACAUUCUUUCAGUCUCUAAGUAUUCUACAUCAGACUAGCUGUCCUCACAAUCCACGACAAAAUGGAGUGGUUGAGAGAAAACACAAGCACAUAUUAAAUAUAGCUAGAGCUCUUAAGUUUCAGUCCCACUUGCCCAUCAAGUUUUAGGGAUGAUGUGUGAAAGCUGCAGUAUAUAUUAUGAAUAGGUAACCAACCUCAGUCUUGAGUUUUAAGAGACCAUAUUAGUUGUUAUUCUCCAAGGAUCCCAAGCUAUCUCAUUUGAGGGUGUUGGGAUGUCAGUGUUAUGUGACUGUUGUCCCUAGAAGUUACAAGUUCUCUGAAAGAGCUAAACCUGCCAUGUUAGUAGGAUAUUCAGAGUCUCAAAAGGGUUACUUGCUACUGGAUAUCCACUCAAAAAGACUAUUAGUGAGUAGGGAAGUUGUGUUUUAUGAAGAUUCAUUCCCCUUUGAUCCAUCACAAGCAAAAUUAUAGCAUCCAAAUGCUUCCAAAACUGCUGAAGACAUCAAUGACUUCCUGGUAUCCACAGAUAAUGAAGUAGGUACUGAUGUUACUUUAGAGGAUAUUCACGUUGAUGAUGCUGAUUUUGAUGAUGCUGCACCACCUGAUGUACCUUUCUUUGAUGCAAAUACUGAAGCUGAUUGCCAAGCUGAGCCCUCUCUGACUUAAGCUUCUUCUGAUGUUGCAGUACCUGGUGCUGUUUCACCUGACACCACUCAUGAAGAAACAUUUCAAGAUGACCAUUCCCUGCCACAACCCUUUUCUAGUAGACCAAUAAAAACAAGCAGGCCACCUGUGUGGAUGCAUGAUUAUGUUGAAACUUCAAAAACCCAGAGAUGCAAGUACCCUUUAGCUAACAACCUAUCUUACAGUAAACUAAAACCUGCAUAUUAGUGGUACUUUUUAAAGUUAUCCACUCUGGCAAAGCCUCAACACUUUAAAAAAGCUAUAAAAUAUGAAAGAUAGGUGGAAGCUAUGACGCUAGAAAUCCUAGCAUUGGAGGCCAAUAAUAUAUGGACCAUUGUUGACCUGCCUAAAGAAAAGAACACUGUUGGUUCCAAAUGGAUAUACAAGAUUAAAUAUCUUGCAAAUGGUAAAGUGGAAAGGUUCAAAACAAUAUUAGUUGACAAGGGAUAUAGCCAACAAGAAGGGCUAGAUUAUCAUGAAGCAUAUUCACCAGUGGCAAAAAUGGUUACUGUCAGGAGUGUGAUUGUUGUAGCAGUAUCUAGAGGAUGGCCUCUUUAUCAAAUGGAUGUCUAUAAUGCAAUUUUACAAUAGGAUCUUGAAGAGUAAGUGUACAUGGAGCUUCUAGAAGGUUUCAGAAGCCAAGGAAAGCACAAAGUUUGCAAGUUGCUCAAAUCCUUGUAUAGCCUCAAGCAGGCUUCCAGACAAUUGAACCUGAAACUGACUUAUGUUUUGCUUGAUACUGGAUUCACUCAGAGUGCUCAUGACUAUUCUCUCUUCAUUCUACAUCAAGGUGAUGACACAGUAGUAGUUCUUUUAUAUGUUGAUGACCUACUCCUUACUGGAAGCAAUGCAGCAUUGAUUAAUCCAACAAAAGCCAAGUUACAUCAGUAUUUCAAGAUGAUGGACCUGGGGAAUCUCAAAUACUUCUCAGGUAUUGAAGUCCUCAGAUCCAAUUCAGGGGCGAUAUUAAAUAAAAAGAAGUAUUUCCUAGAAUUAAUUUCAGAUACUGGUCUUAGUGGUUCAAAACCUGCAAUCACUCCCUUAGAAUCUAAUGUAAGGUUAACAUCACUUGAGUAUGAUCAAGCCACAGGUGCACAAGGUGAUAAUUUGUUGUCUGAUGCUUCUUCUUAUCAGAGAGUAGUGGGUAAACUCAUGUAUGUCACUAUUACAAGAUCAGAUAUUAGUUUUAUAGUCCACACUCUCAGCUAGUUUAUGCAACGUCUAAAGAGAUCAUACUAGGAGGUUGCUAUUAGGGUAGUUAGGUACCUCAAAGGCUCUAUUGGUCAAGGAAUCUGGGUAAAGACUGAGCAUUCUACCACUCUAAAUUGCUAGUGUGACUUAGAUUAGGCUACUUGUCCCAACACCAGGCGAUCAGUUACUGGCUAUGCAGUUCAUUUUGGUGAAUCUUUAAUUUCUUGGAAGUACAAGAAAUAGCAUACUCUUUCCAGGAGCUCUGCUGAAGCUGAGUACAGAAGCAUGGCUUCAGCAGUUGCAGAGAUAACUUGGUUGGUUGGUUUGUUCCAGGAACUCAAUGUUCCCAUUACCUUGCCCAUAUUAGUCUUUAGUGACAGCAAUUCAACAAUUCAAUUGGCCAACAAUACUGUGAUUCAUGAGAGAACAAAACACAUAGAGAUUGACUGUCAUUUUAUCAGGGACAAGAUCAAAAGUAAACUGAUAAAGCUAUAUAUGUUCACACCGAUGUAUAGGUGGCUGACCUUUUUACCAAGGGACUAAGCCAAGCCAAACAUUCUCAUUUAUUAGACAAGCUUGUGUGCUAAAUAUAUUACACCCUGCAGCUUGAGAGGGCAUAUCUUAACUACUGAUCCAAGCACAAAGUAUGAUCUCAAGAUAUGAUACCCACUGUAUAGAACCACACAACACUAACUGUUCUAUUGGAUGGAAGGUUCUGGAAGCUUCUCGAUUGUUAGUCAGUUAGCAAUAGCAAGUUGUUAGAGGUUGUUAGGCAAGUGGUUAGUCAGUUAUGAUGAGCUGUCGCUAAGCUGGAAAUGAGAUCAUUAUCUUAGCUAAAGUAUAUAAGUAGCUGCAAUGUUGUAAUGUACAGACGAUGAAGAAUAAAAUUUCCAACUACACUCUGUCCUUUCUUUUUCAUUGUUCAUGGAUUAUGAAGCUGUAAUGCUUGAGUUUCACAAAGAUUCUUUGAAUUCAUUUGGAUUUGGCGACUACUUUACAUGUGCAGAUUUAAUAUCUAAAGGUUCUAGUGGAUACUUAUCAGAGCUAGAGUUCAUGGGCUUGUUUUAUCAUGAAGGUAAGUCACAUCGAAAUGGUGGCAAUUUUGUAGACUGCAUAUUAUCAAAUGAAUUUGAAAAAAAUUUGAAUCUGGAGGUGACCUUGACGGAUACAGAUAAAGAUUCUAAAUGCAUGAGAUUAUCCAGCAAUUGUUCAUUUUUAUCAUUAGUAGAGAAAGAUGAUCUGGACAACACCGAGUUAAAGUUGGAGCUUGAUACAAUUGAGUCACAAUAUCAACAAUGCUUUCAAGAACUCACAAGAAUGAAGCUGGAGGCAAUAGAUUUGUGCAGGAAGAGAUGAACCGCGAAGACAAAUUUGGCAGGUAAUUGAUUGAAAGAUAAUAGUUGAUAACUUCAUUGACAUUUAAGUUUUUUACUUUUUUUUUUCUUUUCUUUUCUUAAUUUUUGGUCACAUAUUCGAAUCCUUUGAUGGAUUUUGGUAUUCUUUUUCUUUCAGACUUAACUUCCUUUAUACCCCUUAUUUGUGUGGGUAAAGAUUAUAUGCACUUUGUAUAAAGAGUGUAUAUAGUCAUUUAGGUUUGUCGGUUUUUAGCCUUGAUUAAUUUGUUCUUCUGUAGCUCAUUGUUUUGCAAGUAUGCAAAAUGUUUUUGAUCAUUCAGUUGCAAAGGUAUUAAAUAAGUGGGCUAAAUCCAAAUUUUAAUAGAAACUCUAGUAUUAUUAAAAGACAUUAAAUGUUUUAAUAUUAUUAUUAUUAAUAUGAUUAUUAUUAUAAAAGUAAGGAUUAAUUCUAAAUAAUAAAAUGUUAAGUCAUUAUUGGUUUGCAUUAUAUUAACUUGAUAUUGUUGUAAAAAUUUUAUAUUAUUAAUAUGAAGAUUUGAGUCAUUUAACUCAAAGUUCUAAAAUAUUUUUGAUAAAAAGUGUAUAAUUCUUCUUUAUAAUUAGAUUUUUUUAAGGAAAAAUUACUUAAAACAACACCUUAACUUUCCAUUAUUACUAAAAACUAGUAUACAUACCCGCGCAUCGCGCGAGUAAAUAACGUAUAAUUUUAAAUAAUUAUAGAUUGCAAUGGCUUACUAUCGUGUAAUAAAUAAUUGUACAUUUAUGUAUAAUACAAUACUCUCUUCGUUUAAAAAUAGUUGGCCCUUUUGAACUUGACACUCUCCUUAAGAAAGUAUUUAUUAGAGGUUUAUUUUACCAAAUUAGCCUCAUUAAUUUAGUUUUUAAAAUUUAAAUUUAAGUAAAUAUACUUUGUUUAGUCAUUUAAUGUUGGGCGUAAUAUUUGAAGAACAUAAUAAAAUACUAUUGAUAUCAUCAAAGGGACAAUUAGAUUAAAAUAAAUACUUUUAGAAAGAGAGCCAAAUAAAACGAAACUGAGGGAGUAGAAUUAAAUUAUUUCGAUUUGAUUAGAAAUUGUUAUUUGAUUUAAAAAUAAUAGGGGAACGGAUGUAAUUAAAAUUUCGUUUUGAAAUUAUUGACAUAGAAUUGAUCAUUAAAUUUUUAUUCAAUUUUUUUAGUCAUUUAUGACAUUAAAUACCAUUAAAUGGAAUAGUGAAAAUGAACAAUUUAUAAAGAUAGUGACAUAGAUGGAUAAAACUAUUUAUAAUAAUUACAUAAAUGUGCAUAUUUUUAAUAUAUGAAUUAAAAUAUUUAAUAUUUAUAAGUUCAAUGACAUAUUAAUAUUUUUUAAUUAAUAUUAAAAUAUCUUUAAAUUAAUUAUGUAAAAUUUUAGUAUUUUCAUAUUGAAUGUAAUGAUAUUUUUUAUAUUUUAUGAUUAAGUACAUUGAAAAAAAUUCUAGAGAAAGGCUAAAGAAUGGUAAGAUUAAAACGUUAGAUUUAAUUAUAUAGAGGUGUAUUUGCGUCUGUGUAUUUUUAUUUUCUUAAAAGAAAUAAUAUAUUACAAUGUUUAUUCUUCAAGUAAAUGAUUUAUUUGAAUGAUCCAAAAGUAAUACGGAGUAUGUAAAUACCAGCCCAUAUAAUAAAUAUCUGUAUAAAAAAGUCCAUCUCAAAGGACAAAAUAUAUUAAAAAAAUAUUAUAUCCAUAUAGAUUAACUAGAUUUGGCAAGUACUCCUCGUUAGCGUUUUUUUUGUCCAGAAAAUUGAGAAGUUGCCUAUUCACCUUCAUCACUAUUUCCAAACUUCACUUUGUAAGAUAGUUUUAAGCAAAAAUAUUUUAUGAACUCUAUUGAAACAAAAAAUAGCAGCUAAAAGGUCAAAGCAUUUCUUUUUUCUUACUUAGUUUUUUUGAAGCUUUCUGACUUGUUUCUUGUUGGAUUCUUCAAAUCAUUCCGUGUUGUUUAUUCUUAAAUUUGUAUAGAUCUUUGAAAAUAAUCUCCAUUUAUGUUGGUUAGUAUUUGAUUUUGGUCUCCGAAAUGUCUAGUAAGUUCUCCUUUUACUAUGAUUUUCUUUUUCUUUUUUUAGAUUUGAACAUGCAAGUGAAAUCUAUGGUUUAUUAGUUGUUGAAUUUAUAGUAGAUGUAGAAAAUAAACCCCAAUCAUACGUCAAUAAUUGUUUUAGUCUCUAUAAAGUCUAAUAAAUUCUCCUCUAUUUGUGAUUGUUUUAAAUUUUAAUUUGAUCAUGCAAUUGAAAUCUAUGAUUUAUGUUGUUGAAUUUGUAGUAGAUAUUGAAAAAUAAUCUUUUUUUAUGUCAGUAAUUAUCUGAUUUCAUGGUAUUUAUAAUGUCUGGUAUGCUCUCUUAUCAAUGCAAGAUUUUCUUUUCCACUUUAAUUAGACCAUGCAAGUGAAAUUGGAGAUGUUAAGCUGAUAAAAAUAUAGAAUGAAACAAAUUUUUUUGAUUAAUAUAACAUUUGAAGCUGUAUAAUUAUGUUAAUGGUAUUUUCUUGUUCCUUUAAUCUUGUUUUCAUGAUUGCAUGACAUAUAAUAAGUCAUAUCUACUAAUAUCUUAGCCAAGUAUGGUGACCUUCUGAACUUUUGGUGUUGUUCCUUUUUUAGCUUGUAAACUUCUGUCCAAUGGUUAUAGGUUCAAUGAAGCCUGGGCUUGUGCAAAAGCAACCCUUUCGUCAUUUGCUUCUGUGAUAAUGUUCUUGAAUUGUUUGCCCAUUUAGUCUUCUCAAUCUCGUCUUUAAAUGCUUUAACUUCUUUACCACUAUGAACAUUUUACAUCCCUCAAUAUCAUGCCUCCAUUAUUCUUCUACAAUGUCUAAGAAUUGUAGAUGGCAUGCCCACCCAUUGCAAAAAUUUGGAAGAAGGUCUAAGCCUACUUGGUCCAUCCAAUAUAGUCACUUUGAUGUCAAUUUGAUUGUAUUUUUAAUUUGUCAUUAUAACUACGGUCAAAUGGUAAACUUAUCUUAGCCAUCUAGUAGAAUCAAGUUUGAUUCCUUCUAUUGGGCAAGAGUCAUUUAUCUACUUCUGUUAAAUUGUAAAUAGUACUAUGUACAUCCUUAAACUACGUUGCUAGCCAAUUAUUUUACUUUUUCUUCCUAUUGAAGAUAUUGUUCUCAUUACUUAUUGGAAGUUGACAGGCCCUGCCUGAUGAACUGUUGACCUGUAGAUGUUCUGCUAGAGUCUUUGAUCUUAGCCACGACUUAAUACAGCAUCUUCCUACCAUAAAUAAUAACUUGAGUUCUCUUUAGGUCAGUAGAGCUGACUCCUUUACAUAUCUUUUAAAUUGUGAUGUUUUCACUUGUUAGGAAGAAAUUUUGUUUCGGUAGUGUUCUACUUACCAGAAAUUAGUUCUUAAUGGAAAUAAAAUCAUGGAUAAUUUAUUAAGCUGGAAGAGAUAGCUUCUCUAAAGAAUCUUGUGUUUAUUUCACUGAACGAAAACCAGUAAGUACCAGAUAUUUCCUUCAUCAGCAUACUACUCUCCAAGUUUAAUGAGAUUCUUGAAGUUCACACAUUCUUUUUUGCACCAUUAACUGAUGGGUACACCAAACAUGUAGGUACAUUUGAGUGUGAGGGACGCAGUAUCAUAGUUCUAAUUUAUUGGAUUGUUUUGGUAAAAUUAUAAUAUGAAAAUUGAAGUAUAUCAGUGAGUAGUAUAAAGCCUUGUAUCCUUCAUUCACAAAAUUCAUGGUAUUAAAUUGUUUUGAUCAGUGACAUUUAGAUGUUGUUUCGUGUUAUAAUUUUAUUUUCUAAUACGGCUUACUCUAUUUACCAACCUCAACCAUUUAUCAUAUGUCAUUAUUUCGACUAAAGAUUUCUUAUAUGAUUGUAUCUACUAAUCUUCUUCUUAGUAUGCAGCAUAGCAACAUUGCCCAAGUGAAAUCAGCACUUGGACCAGUAUGAGACAACUUCAGAGGCAGGUGUGCUUCUCUUAUUGAGGUAAAGAAAUUGGGCUUAUUUUCAUUUUAUUAACUGGAAUCAAGAAAUCCAAAUUCAUCCUAUCAUUGUUCUGAUGAGAAGGGUUAAGAAUUCAAAAACUGAACGUGAGUUGACUGAUUAAUGGUAAGAACUAUGUGUUAGUAAAACUUAGCCAGAUUUUCUAGAGUUCUUGGAUAUAAUGUUUGUUACUCAAACAUGGAUAAAUUUACGAUGGCAGAUUGUAGAAUAUAUAUUCACUUAUAUUUCAGAUUGUGUGUCGGUUAAUAGAAGAUACAACUGCUUAAACCAAAGCUAAAAUGUGAUAUAUAGCUUUAGCCAGUGAAAGAAUGUAGAUUUAGCCCAUGACUAGUGAAUAAAUUAUAGUGUAUUCAGAUUUAAUUACUUCAGAUUCUGAGAUCAUAUGGGUGUAGAAUAUGCAGAUUCAUGGAUAAAUUUUUUUCCCAGAACUAUGUGUUUCCAUGUCUUAAUUCUUGUAGUUGUUAAUAUCUCAUUUGCACAUUUAGUGUUUGGGUUUUAAAUUAUUGAAUGUAAAUAAGACUUCAAGGUUAAACUACAAAAAUGUUUCGAUCACGUUGUCCAUUAUUUCAAUUUGAUUUUUGUGGUCAUGUCUUCCUGUCUAAUGGAAAUAGUUAUCUAGAUAAUUUCAUUGUUUGUUACAUGUCCAGCCUGAUGUGUAACUCUUCUUGCGUGCUAAUGAAUCUUCUUCUUUUUUUUACCGUUGAUUAUAUCAUAUUGUUAUCUUUUCAGUCAACAGUUGAAAAUGAAAAUGAGUCUAUAAUUUUGGAGUAAUUCUUAAGAGGUAUAUGACCUAUUACAGCAACAUGCUCUUACAUAUAAAUUAAAUUAACUUUCUGUACUUGCGUUGCUGGGUUAUAUUAAUAGAAAUGGGAGUAGUUUUCACGAUUGGCUUUGUUAGUUAUAAACUGUAAAGAGAACUUAUAACUAUAGGAAAUCCACAUUUACUGCAGCCAUAAUAUAUGAAAGCAUGCUGCAAUAAAGAAGAUUUCAAAGUUUAAAGAUAUUAAUAAGUUAUGGAAAGACCUCGAUUUUUGUUUUGCCACUUAUCAUGGUGGCUUUGCAGGAAGAGGUUAUGAUGCCUAUUGCUCCCGGUGAAGAACCACUUGAUUUGAUUGUAUGUCCAGCUCAAGAGCUUGCAAGACAUUGAGGCCUUUGAUGUAUAUUGAUGGAGUUGAUAUGAAGCCCCAAAUUGAAGUUGUGAAGAAGGGAGUGUACAUUGUCGUUGCUAAACCGGGAAGGCUCAAAUAUAUGCUAGCAAUGAAAUGAAUGAACCUUGAAAAUUGCAGGUACUUACCAAAUCUUUAGUUGUCACAUGUUGCUUCCUUCCUAUUUCUUGCUAUACCACAUAAUUUGUGGUAAUGUCUAAAUCUACCCCAUGCCUUUGAGAGAGUUCACAUACAUAUAAAUACCUGUUAAAAGCUUCCAUAACAUACACUUUUGUUUUGCAUUUACACAGGGUGAAUUGUAUAAGAAAGGAUACACAACAAAAAAUGAUUCUAUGGGACGUUGAUUAUACAACCAUAGCAGGUAAGUCAACAUUUCAUUCAAAACAGUGAAAACAAAUACAUCUUAAAGUGGUAGCAACAAACAGAAAGAUAUUUUUAAACUGUACAAUAGGUUUAUAAACAAUGGAAACAAUCUGAGUAUAAGAAAUAUGAACAAUUGUAAACAAAAUUUAAUACCUUUUUAUCCUAAAGUACCAUUUCAAUUGCGUAAUAGCGCCAGGAUUAAAGUGACCUUUCACUUCCCAUAGCCGAACAACCAAGAUCUUUAACUUCCACUGCAUUUUAGUAAUUGCUAAGUCGUUGAUGAAGUGUUAACAUUUUUGAUAGAGAAUGAAAGUAUAUAUAAAUUGUGGUAAGGAUUAAAUGAAUUGAGGUAGUUUAUGAAGGAAUCAGUGAUAACAUUAAUAUUUGAUGUGUACAGGUAUAUGCAGAUUGUGGUAAGGAGUUAAAGUAUAGAAGUCGUUUAAGAAGAAAUCAUUGAUUAGAUUAACAUAUCAUUGGUUACAUUAACAUUUGAAGGUUUCUGUAGACAGCGUUAAGGGUCGUUAGAGUUGUAGUGGUAUACGAAGGAAUCAGUGGUUACAACAGAAGAUGAAUUGAAUUUAUAGAUGAAGGGGAUGAAAAUAAGGGCAUUUAACAAUUGAGGAUAAGAUUAAUGACAGUUGUGAAAUAGGUAGGAUUCCGUUGAGCAGUGGAUAAAUGGAUAAAUAAGAUGUUGAUAAAAGAGUUAUAAUAUACCUUGGUAACUUAUUGAACAAAAAGAGUUAACUCUAUAAAUUAUUUUUUAUAUUUGCUACGUUAGUACUUAUGGAAUAAAAAGAGUACAGUAUAUAAAUUAGUUAAUAUUUUUGAUACCUUAGUUUUACGAUAUUUUUUACAAUUACAAAUACAACUUAAAAGAAUGCAAAUUUUUGAUGUUAUAACUGAUCUUUAAUUGUAUUUAUCUGUUUUUAAAAAAUUUAAAAGAUACUGUAAUUGUAAAUUUGAAUGUUUAAAAAUAACUAACAUAACAACUAUUCAUUUUAGUUUGUUUUUGCUUUUUUUUUUUUUUUGAAAUAAGGGUCCAAAUGUUAGAGCGUGGUAAGUUUUAAACUUUAAAUUGUUAAAAUAUUUACCAAACCGAUACAUUGCUUUUACUAUAGAAAUAUUUAUAUUUAUUUAUUGAAAUUAACUUAUCUUUCAAUUGUUAUAGUUUAACUAAAAUUGAAUUUACAGUUUUUUGUCAGUAGUUUAUAAAAGUUGUCAAACUUUUACAUAUUUUUCAUAUUUUUAGUUAUUAUUUAAAAUUAAAACUUAAUUAUUUAAAAAUAAUUAAAAAAUAGUAAAAGCAAUGGAUAUUUUAAAGGAUGACAUUUGGGUGAAUGAGAGGGCUGCAUCUUUUGUUAUUAAGAAUAUAUAGAUAUAGAUAUAAAUAUGAAAUUUUUAAUUAAACAAAUUAACUCGUUUAUAUUUUCUACUUAGUUAAAUGUAUAAGUUUUAGAUUUAUUUUUUAAAAACAAAUGCAAUAAUGAAUUACUAAUAUUUGGAUUUGUUUACAAUUCAAUGCAGAUGGAUAUUGUAUAUGAUAACAUAUGGUUAAAUGAGGAGGUUGCAUCAUAAUCAAAUUUUGCUUGAAGUGAUGCCAAUAUACUAAAUGUAAAAGCAAUUUAUGAGAUUUAAUUUGAUUUUAUUUGAAUUUUGAUUUAAUGAAUGUGAAUUUCAAAGAGAUUUAUAAUAAGAAUUUCAAGUAAGAGAUUUGUAAUAAACAGUGUAUGUUUGCACUUGUAAGUUCUUAUUGAUAAUAGUAUAGUUAUGAUCAUAAAAAAAAUAAAAAAUAGUGCAGUUAUAUAAAACAAAUUCAAAAUCAAUUUUGUAUUUGUUCAAAGUUAUAUUAUUGUGUAAAGGGGGUAACAAUUAUAACCAACUUAAAAACAUUCGAACUAAAAAUAUAAAAUUGUGAAGUAACUGAUAAUUUGAAGUUGAAAUUUAAAAAAAAAAAACUAUAAAAUUGUAAAGUAACGGAAAGUAUAAAAUUGUGAAGUAUCUGAUAAUUUGAAUUUGAAAAUUUUUAAUUGUAAAGUAACGGAAAAGUUGUAUUUGAAAUUUAUAAAACAACUAAUGCAACAACUAUUUCCUAACUAAUUAACUAAAAUAACAUGUGUCAAAAUGUAAUGUUUCCACUUGGCUAAAUGAGGAGGCUUUGUCCUCUCCUUUUAAUAAUAUAUAGAUUCCAUCUCACUAUACUAAUUUCAAAAAUCCCUUCUAACUCAUAAAAGUAUCUUAUCUCCAGAUACAUCACAAUUCACCCUUAUUACUUCGCCUACUGCGUCGCAAAUGUCUCAAACUUAAUAUGGGUACAUUUUGUCUAUCGAUUUGACUCAUUUACCCUGAUUUUGUGCCUAAUUCGAUUUUGCCUUAUUUGUGAGGAACUAUUUCACUAAUUGAUUUUCUAAUUUCUCUUUGCCCUUAUUUAAUGCGACAAACAUUCAUUUACGUAUUAAUUAUGAUAAAUUUAGAUGAUAUUACAAUUGAUUGAUACUAAUGUCUUUUACCCCCUCUUAACUUCCUUUAAUAAGUAGGGACAAUUUUCUUUUCCUUAUUUUGUUUAUGGAAGAUUUCAAUAUUAAGAUUUAGACAAUAUAGCAUGAUUGGUGGAGUUAAGUGAUUUACCUCAUUGAAUAAUAUUCUUGAUUGAAUUAUCAAAUAUUUUUCUUUCUUUUAUUUUUGUGAUCUUUUGCUAUAUAAACAACUCCUCCUCAAAGAAUGAUGAGACAACUUACAAUUUACACACUCUGUAUAAUAAGCUCAUGUGAGUCCCUCUAUUCUCAGCCAAGCAUUUAUUUUUAUGCAGAUUUAACUUAUAUACGUUGAUAACUUAAAUUUUUUUUUUUACAACAAGUGUGUUUUAAUCUGUUGUAGCGGUAACCUAUAAAUUCUUUAUAUAAGCAUCUCAUUUUCCUUUUCCUUUCUUCCCAUAUUAUAGUAUACUAUUCAACAACAAUAACAACAUACCCAGUGUAUUUUCAUAUAGUGGGUCUGGGGAAAAUAAAGUGUACGCAGAUCAUACCACUACCUCAGGUGAAGUAGAGAGGUUGUAUUGUAGUAUACUAUUCACUAUGGAACAUUCUCAACAACCUCUUGCCCCACAGAGUUUUUCAUAUAGCUGGUUGUUGAACAGACAACCAUCCAUUGAUGAAUAUAUCAUGCCUCGAUAUCUUGAUAGAUCAAAGAUUGAAUCUUUUUGCGAAGCCUUCAAUAAUUUCAACACAAAUUCAUCAGUACCCUCAACUAGUACUCCUCCCACACCAAUAUCUAAAAUUUCAAAUUCCACAACUAGUCAAGCUGAUUUUCUUGAAAAAUGGAGGAAGUUUUUGCACAAAAUCUUGGUUAAGUGGUUUGGAUUCAUCCGGCCAAUCUCCAAAAGUAUAGCAAGUUCAAUAAAAAGUACUGCAAAGUUGAUGACCUUAAAAGAAAAGUAAGUGAAAUUCAAAGCUGCAAAAGUACUACUGAUACUUCAUUUCAGGGAUCUCCUCGCCGAAUGUUGAAAUCUUAUUCUAUUGUCAAUUGGUGGGGAAAUGAUAGCAACCAAAGAAGUAUUAGUAGUACUAAAAGAGUUAAGAGUUUGAGGAAGGUGAAAAACUGAAGCAAUAUUAACUCACCACAUGAGGCUUGUUCCCCUAUAAAAAGUCCAUCCAAUGAUCAUUCUACUGAUGUUUGGCACGAGAAGGCGAUUUCUAAUGCAAUUCUGUACUGUAAGAGAUCGUAUGUCAACUGAGCCUGAUUUCGAUCACGGUGAUCGUUUUGACCAGAAGAAGAAAUUCUAGAUGUUAAAUUUCAUCCUUAAAUUCUUUUCUCAGAUGUAUAUUUAGAUUUUUGGCUCUUCAUACAAAUAAUCUAUCAUGUAUCACUCAGAUUCAAUAUUUUGUACAUUUUGAUGUGAAAAUGAAAAACAUAAAAUAGACAAGCACACCCAUCUUACUUGUAUUUUUUUAGCUACUAUUUGAUGCUUUAUUAUUAUCAUCUGUUGUUUUGUUAUUAUUAGUUGAUUCUUGUACCUUGAUUAUGGUAUUAUUUUGUUGUAGUUUUUGCUUAACUGCUAUAUGUUGCUUUGUUAUUAUCAAAUGAUUCUUGUACCUUGAUUACGUAUUGUUUUGUUUAGAUGCUAUCUGUUUUGUUAUUAUCUAUUGAUUCCUGUACCUCCAUAUGCUCUACCUUCGCCAAACCUCACAUUGUGGGUCUGCACUUGGUAUGUCCUCAUUGUUGGAAAUAAACAAUUUGAUUUAUCUAUGGUUGCUUACUUAAUUGUUCCUAAAUGCAUUAUCCUCCCAUAGAAAAUUGCUCUUUAUGGAGUUGAUUCUCUUUUCAACUCAUCUAUUAAGAAUAGGAGUAAGAGUCAUAAGCAUUCUGUCAACAGGUUUUAGAAGCAUUAUAGCCUAAAUAGUAUUGUCCCGUUCAUCUCUUUUAUGUAUUAUAUACCUUUUGCUAUGUUAGCUACUUAUGUUAUCAUACAAUACUCUGUUGGUAAUGCACGAGGCUACAACAAGUAUUCAUUUAAUAGCUUUCCUUGGUAAUCAUUUGAUUGGAUUGGCUUCAAAACUACAUUCACAUUUGUAGUAAAAUUUUGCAAAAGACUGAAUGAGGUGUGGCUAGGAACUGAGAUGACUAUUUCUUUCUUGCUAAUCCCUCCACUCUUGGUGAGCUGUGUUUUUACCUCCCUUUUCUGUAUCAUGUUUGGUUGGAUUUGGGCAUUUAUUGUAGGUUUUGGCUUCAUAAGGUUUGGACUAUAGCAUUUGAAUAGCAGACUGAUCUUUCUGUAUACUAAGAUAGACUACUUUUAGUCUUAGAUUUUGUAUCUUCCCCUUUCAUUUGCCUUAUCUCUGCUUCACUUCGAUUAGAGAUGCUACUUGCUGAAAACAUCUGGAAUCUUAAAAGUAUGUCCUGUUACCAACUUCUCUAGAUUAAAAUGUUAAUCAGCUCAACUCAAUUUCAGAACAUAGGGAUUUUUAGCACUGUUUACAGGUGAUACUGGUGAGAUUCGUGCUGAAUUGAGAGAACAAAUAGAUACCGAGGAUGCAGAAUGAAGGGAGGAAGGAAAGGCAGAAAUUAUGCCUGGUGUCCUCUUCAUUGACGAAGUACGUAUGCUUGACAUUGAGUGUUUCUCUUUCCUAAACUGAGAUCUGGAGAAUGACAUAGCACCUAUAUUGGUUGUUACGACCAAUAGAGGCAUUACUAUAAUCUGGGGGACAAACGACAGAUCCCCACAUGGGACUCCAAUUGACUUUCUUGAUCGCCUGCUCAUCAUCUCUACAUAACCUUACAAAGAGGAAGAAAUUCGCAAAAUCCUGGACAUCAGAUGCCAAGAGGAGGAUGUAGAAAUAUCGGAGGAUGCAAGAGUUCUAUUGACCAAGAUCGGGGUGAAUACCUCUUUGAGAUACACCAUCCACCUUAUCACUUCUGCAGCAUUGGCUUGCCAAAAAUGGAAAGGGAAGGUUGUGGAAGUGGAAGACAUUACUCGAGUCUAUAAUCUGUUUUAUGAUAUGAAGAGAUCCACACAGUACUUGAUGGAGUAUCAGAGCCAUUACAUGUUUAAAGAAAUAUCAGCAGGAGAGGCCGAAGAAGAUGAAACUACUGCAAUGGUGUCCUGAAAGCUUCUCGACUUAGGAUUCAGGAGGUUGCAACUUAGCUUUGGCGAGGUAUUUCGCUACCUAGUUCUUACUUGAUGAUUUCUUUUCUUCUAUUUAUGUUUUCUGACUUGAACAAAAUGUUAAUUGAUAAAUGUGGAUCCAAUAUGAUUUCCUAUUCCUCCUUUUAAUUAAGAACUACAUCUGUUAGGCAUUCGUAUAAAAGUUUAGGGUGAUAUAUUGGGAUUUAGGCUAUUAGUUUAACUAAUCAAUUUUAUAAUUUAUAGUAAUUAAGUUGAUAUUUCGAAGUUAUCAAGUGGUGAUGAUGUUUUGUGAUGUAAAGGACUUCUUUAACCAUUCUACAUAAGCAUUUUUUAGCACAGUGAAUUGAAGUUCAUUCUGGAGCAAGUAACCUGAAACCUUCUGCAGAAGGCCCUACUGUUCAAGCUCGAGGUAAUUUCCAAGGACAUGAUAAUACUGUAGAAGAUGUUCAGUUCUUCCCUUCCAGGUAGCUAUCACAUCUCCUCCCACAUUAUAUAAGAUGUUGAGUUUAGUCCAGCAGUUUUUUUGAUAGGAGUUGUGAUACUUGAUGUUGCUUGGGUUAAAAAACCUUCAUGUAACGUGCGCUUGACUGAAGAUGAGCUAAUACUCAUAUGAGCUGUCAUGUCACAUGUCAAGCUUCUUUUUCUUCUGAAUCAUGUCUUGGAAAUUUCAACCUUAAGCCAUUCGAUAUGAUGUCCCUUUUGUUAAUAUUACAGCCUUUAUAGUGGAUUGUUCCUUUUGUUUUCUGUUUUACAUAAUUGUCAGUUAUACAACUAGAGGAAUGUAUGAUGUUUUGGUUAACUUUAUAAAGGAUGCAUGUGGUCUGAGUAAGAAGUCAAAGGAGCAGAUUGUGGACAUUGAUGCUGCAGAUGUGAACUAUGAAUUGGCAGUUUUGGAAUAUGUUGAAGACAUUUUCAGCUUCUACAAACUAGCUGAGGUAUUUAUUGUCUUGAACUUGAGCUUUAUUUUCAUUUCUUGUAUACUAGAAAUAUCUAUGAUCAAAUCAAUUUUUUGUGGUUCUUUGCAGAGUGAGACAAGAGUUCAUGACUAAUUGAUUCACAGCCUACCACAGGUUUGAGCUUAAUCCAGAAACUCUUUACCUCACAAUGUACAUUCUUGAUCGCUACCUCUCUGUGGAGACUGCAUCAAGAAGGGAACUGCAGUUGGUGGGCAUUAGUGCCAUGCUUAUAGCCUCUAAAUAUGAAGAAACUUGGGCUCCCAAGGUAAAAUAUGAAAGCCUUUUUCACCAAAUAAGCUGUUAAUGUCUAAAGCUAACAGCUUUCUAAAUGUUGUAAUUUGUUUUUUUAGCUCAAUGACUUCAUGUGCAUCUCGGACAAAACUUACAGUCACGAGCAAGUGUUAACUAUGGAGAAACAAAUUCACGAGCAACUGAAAUGGUAUCUAAUAGUCCCAACACCUUAUGUGUUCCUCGUCCAUUCUAUCAAAGCUUCUUUACCUGAUUCAGAAUUUAGUUCUUUAAUUUGGGCUCCCGAGAUAAAAUAUGAAAGCCUUUUUCACCAUAUGAGAUGUUAAUGGAUAAAGCUAACAACUUUCUAAAUGUAGUAAUUUUUUUUAGGUCAAUGACUUCAUGUGCAUCUUGGACAAAACUUAUAGUCACGAGGAAGUGUUAACUAUGGACAAACAAAUUCUCGGGCAACUGGUUGUCAUGGAUAAAGUUGUCGUGGUUGUGUGAAGUGAAGUUAGCCAUGUGAAAGCCUCAUUGUUUGCCGAUUAAUCGACUAUUGUAAGUGUUUCGUUAUUGUUUUCAGUACCAAAGCUCCUCGGUUACAUAGUUUUUGGGAUUACAUUGUAUUAAACUGGUUGGAAGUCAAAGGUAUGUUUGAUAUCCCUUUAGGGCUAUAACAUAUCUGGUUCUGAAGAAGAUCAUAUAUAAUUACUUGGAAAGUUAUUUCUCUACGAGUUCUUAUGUUCUAUUACUCAAUGUAUAAACCAGACACAAGAGGCCGAUGAAACUACCACAUUUAAAGACCUCAAACUAAACUGUCUUUCAAUUGCGUCAAUCUUGGAAUAAAGAGCUUAUAAGGUGAUACAAUCAUUGUCCAAUUCUUUUUAUUGGUGUCUUUAUAUUCAUAGAAUGACUGACUUUGUUCUCGCGGUUCUCAUACAAAUUCAUAUACAUUGUCAGUUUUGGGAACCUGAGAAUAUCAUGGACUACAGUUUUGUGAUUGGUCUACAUAUCUACAAUUAUUGCAUCCUUCUGGUAAUAAUUCUGGAAAUCUUUGUACAUCUAUGUUACAUUGCGUUAAACUGGUUGUUGUGGAUAAAGUUGCCAUGGUUGGUGAGGUGAAGUUAGCCAUGUGGAACCCUCAUUGUUUACCGAUUAGCCGACUAUUGUAAGUGUUUGGUUAUUGUUUUCAGUACCGAAGCUCCUUGGUUACAAAGUUUUUUGGUGUACAUUGUGUUAAAUUGAUUGGAUGUCAAAGGUAUGUUUGAAAUCUCUUUAGCGCUACAACCUAUCUGCAUUAGCAAAUCAACUGGCAUUCUGUAAUAUGAUUUCAGGUGAAACGAAUCAGUGAAGUGGCUCGGGAUAGCAAGAUAUUGGCCACACACACUGACAGUCCAGGUGUAAGCAUCUGCUUCUGAAUAUUUCAAUUUCAUUUGGUAGCCCUAUCGUACACAUUUGUUUCCCCCCUAGUGAUUUUUUGGUAGCCAACAUAAAGCUGGUGGAAACUCUUGGCUACAAGCAGAUGAGUUGAUUUCGAUGGAUUCUACUGUGAGUGGAUAUGCCACUACGUCACUAUUCUCUAAAGCUAUUUGGGUUUCGAUUAAUCCAUUGCUUAGUACAGGAUACCAAUCCCCUUUAAAGUUAGAUUAACUGCCAUUGCUUCCACCUGAUUUCCAAGCUGUAAGAACGUCAGAGUUUUUACAAAAGAAUUUCCCUAAGCCAGGUGAAAAUAUGAAGUAUCCUGUAUAAAUAACAUUGAUCUGAUGUUUCAGGAAAGACGUAAUAAUUAGUUUCCUUGCAAUAGUGCAGUUGUCUGAUAUAUAUGUCGGAACAACUCUAAUCCGAAGUUUCAUUGCUACUGCUUCUGCGGAUAGAACAAAACUUUGGGCCCGAUUCAAAUUAUGACAUCUUUUCUACUCUACGUCCUUAUUUUUGACAUAUUCUGUGCUAUGUAAACUUACAAAUUGAAAAUAGCGGUAAAUAACAAUUUUAUUUUUUCUUAUGACAAGUGAAUCCGCAGCGCUGCACCACCCGCCCAGGUUACUGAUGUGUCAACUAAUUCGGCAAACAGGAAGCGUCUUUAUUUCUCUGCAAUAUUUACAAGAGCCAGUCAACAGUGUUCUGCAGAAGAUUUAGUACCUUGGAAGUUACCAACCACCUCAAGAACCCAGGAUUCAUAGAAGUUUUCUGUAUGACCUCUUCUAUGCUAAGAUACAAUUCCAAGACAUGUACUUAUUCUAGCUUUUUUCGAAUGUCUAUGUUGUCUGAAGUUUCUACAAUAGGGUAACUCUUUUCCCACCAGUGACAUGUCUGACUAAUUGUACUCCCAACCUUUACUGCAAACAGGAAGUGAUGUUCAUUCCUCUGUAAUUUUUAUAAGAGCCAUUCAACAGUGUUUUGCAGAAGAUUUAGUACCUUGAAAGUUACCAACCACCUGAAGAACCCAGGAUACAUGAGAAGUCUUCUUUGUGACAUCUUCUAUGCUCAGUAUUGAACAUAUUUCAAAGCUAGGAAAUCAUAAGUUAUUGCACUUGGUGGUAGCACCUCCUGGUUUGGGAAACUCGAGGUGAUUGCACCAUGAGUUCGUUUUGAAUGUGUCAACGAAAAAUGAACUUUGGCUAUAUGUACUAUUCUGCCGAUGCUGCGAUAAGUAUGUGACAAUGCCAACUGAAUCAAACUUCUUACCCUCCAGAAGUUGGGAUGCUCCUCAAGUUCAGUUACUUGUCCAAACCAUCGUUAACAUAUAACUGACAGUUUCUUCUUUUGUUUCCUUUUCUCUACUCCUUUUUGGACAUAAAUGUAACAAAUGGUAGGUGGAACAUUAUUAGAAGUUUGUAGUGUGGAGUUUGAUUGGAUGGGUGUCAAUCGUCAUGUUCAUAUGAACCUAUUGACAACCUCUUUUUAAUUUAAAUUGGAGCCAAAGUAGUAACAGUGUUCUUGGAACAAAAAAGUACGAAAAGAUGAAAAAUAGUAUCAUUUAUUCAUAUAAAGUUUCAAAUAUAUCAUAAAGAAGCAUGUGUAGAGAACUUACUUAGUCCAAUUAACGAUAGUUGCUUUCGUGCCAUUUUGUUUCACACAAGGUAAUUCGACUAACAAGAACAAGCCAAAGCUUCAUGUUGUGCUGCCUCCCCCUGCCUCAAUAUCACAAGUGCAUAAUGGUAGUAAUCCCCACUAAAGUUCGUACUCAACAGGAGAAUUUGAAUUCUUCUCUUGAGUUAUUACCAAUGGAAACAUCAGCACCCUGGCAGGAUGCAAAGAAAUAAGCAGACCAAUAUAUUUGUGAAGGUUUUUGGAGUUCAUAAUCCUUUGUUAAAAUGAGUUCAUCGGGCAAAGUAGUGCCCCCUUAUAAAAUAGAUUGCUUUCUCAGUGUAUCAUUGUUUUAUGCUUGUACCCUCCAACUGUUAAGUUUCUCUGGAACAUUGUAGUUUCGAUGGUCCGGAGACGCUGGAUGUUUAUUGGUUGAAUGUGUAAUAAGCUUUCUCGGAAGAGUGCCUCUUCAAUAUAGUUUACGGAGGGAGCGGAUUUGGAGUAUCAUCAAUCUUUGAGAACUUGCAUCUUAAGAUUGAGAAAAAACAAACAAACCAUAGAAGAGUUGUUAUGUAUCUUUGGUUAGGAAAAAGUCAAUAACUUUCAACCCACUAUAUGUAAGUCUUUUUAAAAAAAGACUUAUUUUUGUGAAAUCCUCCCCCGAGACAAUUGAAGACAUACAAUCUUUGAACUUCUUGGCUCUAAGUAACAAGAAGUGGGAAUUUCCCUAAAGGACUAAAUAAGUUAUAACGUCUAAAAUAUUUUCUUAUGGAUGAUAAUCCAAUGUACAUAAAACUGCCUAAAGAAUUUAGUCAGAUGCAUAAAAUUCAAGAAUUGAGGCUCGCAGGUUCAAGUUACUCAGGUAAAAUACCAUCAAGUUACUCACACCUUCUUAACUACAUUGUCACUUCAGAACAAUCAAUUGACAGGCGAGAUUCCUAUGGAAUUAUGAUCUUUUCACACAUGUAUCACUUGAAUUUGAGCAAAAAUGUGUUGUCUGAUGUUGUGCCAUCCAUUUCAAGUUUCUUGAAAAGAUUUGGUAGGAACUUGGACUUGAAUUUUUGUUUGUAAUUUGUCUAUUACUAUGGCUUUGUUGUAUCUUUUAGAAUUGUGUUUUUUAGGAAUUUAGGCUUUUUUCCCUGAGGCUCAUGAAGUUGCCUAAAAUGCUGAAUUGGGCAUGGUCAAUAAUGUCAGAGUUGCAGUCGAGUCUUCCUCGCAGCCGACAAGUUAAUACGACUAACAAGAUCAAGCAGAAGCUUCCUGCUGUGCUGCCUUCCCCUGUCUCAACAUCACAAAUGCAUAAUGGUAGUAAUCACGCUAAAGUUUGUACUCAACAAGAGAAGUUGAAUUCUUCUCUUUAGUUAUUAACCAAUGAAAACAUCAGCACCCUCGCAAGUUGCAAAGAAAUCAGCAGUCCAAUACAUACAAAUAAGUUUCAGGGAGAGGAUGCGGUUGUUUGGGCACCUAUGCAGUCUCAAAGCAAAACUGAAGACGCUAGUGAAACAAAUUAUAAAACUGGAUCUAAUUAAAUUGGUCCUUAUAAAACAAUGAUGGUAAAUGGAAAGAAAUGUCAACGCUCAACAAACCUUUUAACACUCUACAGAACUGAGCCUUUUAGCUCCACAAUAAUUGAAUACAAAAUCUGCAAACGUAAAUAGAGAAGCAAAAAAUAUCACCUAUAAAAUCCCAUAGCUUCAUCUCAACCUCUUUUGACCUCAUCACACCAGCCACAACAGAAUAAUAACUAAAGAAAUGCCACAUGCAGGACACAACUCAACACACGACUAAAAACUAACGGAAAUAUGAAGUAUGGUCACUUGUUUCCAAAAAGGUAUAAUUAUAUAUGUCAGAAUUCCACAAGAAACAAAUCUAUCAUUACACCUUCCAAGCAACUUGAAACUAACGAUACAGAAGUACCUCUUCGAAGUUUUAAUAUCAACAGUUAGCUGAGAUGAUGAACAAUGAAGUCACAAUGUCAACAAAAAAUGAGGUCUUCAUGAUGCUAAACAACAAAAGAUGAAACAGUAGCUCCAAGCCACAGGAAUCAAAUCUAUGGAAAAGAUUCCAAUUGUAUGUGUUCUUCAUUUACUUUUUACCUUUCUCCCAAAAGAGGAAUGUGCAAUGUAAGAAGUUUAGAAUCAUUAAAAACCAUAGAUUUAACUGAAACCUCUUUUUUUUUUUUAAUACAGGAAUCAUAUACACCUCAACAAAGGAACAUCCAUUCAUCUGUACCACAUGAGAUCAAAUAACUCAACUCCAUGAGACCGGAUCAUCCAUUACACAUGUUUUAUAGGCUGGUGAUAGGAUUGAGGGUUAGUCCCUUCUUCUAAAGCAGAAUUUGAGUUACGACCAGCCUUAGCGCCUCAACAAAUAGUCCACUGACCUAAUAAAUUAUACCAACUAUGUUGAAGUGAAUUUCUCCAUAGGGAGACUGAUAGGAGUCGUGGAUUCGGGUUUGUGAUGAUGAGCACGGUCGAAGAAGCUAAGAAGGCUGUAGUGUUGUCCAACCGUUAUAUGAGUUUUAUUUUUCCUUCUUUAAAAAGCCGGAAAAAAUAUUUGCCUACACAUUUGACCAUAAUGUGUUCUAAUUCCAAAAUUGCUUCAAAGUUUAGGGUAUGGUUGAGCUUAAACACCUUCAGAAGGAGCAUCUGGAGCAUUGUGAGCUCAUCGUCUUCAUACUAGACAUCUUAUUGAAGUGGUAAUGGCGAUGGUAAUAAGGAAAGUUUGUAAUGCGUCUUUAAGGUUUCCUAGACAGACAAUGGUUGCAAAUUGAACAUGGACGAUUUUAUUGACGGUGACUAUAUAUAUCUUCUCUAUUAUUAUUAUUUUUCUAUAUACUACUUAUAUAUUACUUACUACAUAGAAGCAUGAAGUGUUAGAACCACCACCACAUAAAUAAAU